RNAcentral lists this long non-coding RNA (65334 nucleotides) under Citrus maxima (pomelo). RNAcentral's name for it is "long non-coding RNA (CMAX_LNC002580)". Lineage: Eukaryota; Viridiplantae; Streptophyta; Magnoliopsida; Sapindales; Rutaceae. The record is from RNAcentral.
UAGAAGGUACCUGUGGACCCAAUUGGGUUAAGGGCCUUUGAAAUUGAAAUGAAAAAAAAAAAAAAAAAAUAGAUAAGCAAAUCUAUGGCGCAUUGCGGGGAAGAUGUUUGUGAAAACGCCAGGCCACUGGUAAUCGCUUGUCGGUGAGGGAUAAAGCUCAGUACCAACCAAUCAAGAAAAUAGAACAUCAUUUAAGAUUUCACGUGCUUGUUUUUGUACUUGAAAGAAGCACAUUCACCCUUUACCAAGAAUUUGCGUUGCCUUGACCUGAGGAAGGGGCUACAAUUGCAAUGCAAGCCAAGUAACAUUCAAAUUAAGGAAAAGAAAAAGAGAUAAUCAAUUAAAAAAAAAAUUAGACUUCGUGAUCAAGUCAUGUGAUCUGCUUUGAUUGAUUUCAUGGACUAAAAAGUAAGCAAAGAACGGAAAGCUUUAGUUGACCUAACAAGAGCCAAGAAGGUAAUUAAAAUUAUAUCGGAUGGUAUGUUAUUGUAAAUGGUUGAAACUGCCUUAUCAUAUCAAAUUUUACAGCAAUUGAAUCGAAUUGAAUUAGACCUUUUUUUCAAAUUGAGGUGCUAUAAAUAUUAUAUGUAUAAUAUAUAUGGCAAUGGAAGUGAAGUGGAAACGGGGGAUUGGAGCAGCGCACGAGGUGGGGCCCACUGCUCGAAAAUGACAACGCCUCAGGGGUAUCAGUAUUAUACGUGAGGUUGCACUUGCACCCACUAGUAGCAAAGAUGGGUCACUCCCGUCGGGUCAUCAUUUUAUUGGCAAUUACAGUAAGAAGAAUCCCUUGGAAAUAUUUACUUAAUACGGGUUGUUUUUCUUCCCGUCUUUUUAAUUGUAUGUGUGUUCGUAAUGAACAAAACAGGAUUCAAACUUAGAUUCAUAAAUAAUGAUACAAUAAAAGCAAUAAAUGAUUCACGUUCUACUGCGAGAGAGAGAUUAAUUGACGACCCAUAAAUUCAAAAGCAACUGAUUAAUCAUAUAAUCAUAAGAGAAUUAACAUUGAACAUAGAGAGUAUAUAGCUUCAGUAUGGGAAGGGGAGGUAGGAACUCAACCGCUAAAGCUGAAUAGAGAGUAAUUGAAAGGAAGCACAUCGAUUGGAUACUAAUAAUCUAAUAAACUUGACCUUUUAAGCCUCGGAUGGUUCGUCCUUGACUUUGUCCUUGUCUUUGUCGUCGGCGGCAUCAUCAGAUUCAGAGGAAGCUUCGUUGCUUUGUUCAACGGCGUCGUCGGGAUCGCGAGCAGGAUCGGAUUUGUCCAUGGCGGCUCGAACCUUGUCGAGGAACGGCUUGAAAGCCAACUCAAUAGCCAGCCACCCAAACGCUAGAGCACCAACAACGGUCAACGCUUUCUUCAUCUUCUCCACACCCCUCCUUUCCUUAAACUGCGCUGCUUCUAUUUCUAUCUCUAUGCCACUAGUUAGCUAUCAAAUUUGUCUUCAUUUUCUAGGUCAAAUUACAACAAGGGUAUUUUAAUUUUGUCUUCGUUUUCUAGGUCAAAUUACAACAAGGGUAUUUUCCCCCCUUUCUUGCGUAUUUGGAAAGGAAGCAGUACACUAAUUCCCCCUCCCUCCGCCUCAGGUUUAAAAUUCGAAAAUUCGGUCCACCUUUAUUUGCCUUUGACCUGUAGCCCUAUUUUCCUCUUGGGCUCUGCUAAUUACGAUCAAAUUAUCAUUAAUUACCAGUGUUGUAUUAAAGGAUUUAGCUUUAGUGCUGCAUUGAAUUUUUUAUUAAUCUUGUAGAAAAAUACAAUUAAAAAUUUUUGAAUAAGAAAAUAAUAAAAUACAAUUAGUAAUUAUUAAAUGAAAAAAAUUAACAGCAUAUUACCGUACGUGCAAGUGUUAUAGAAGAUCAUAAAAAAUUGAACGCAACUCAACAUUUGGACCUAGAUCCUAAAUCCUAUAUUAAAAUAUAAGAAUUUCUGAACAUUUGAUUUACUUCUUCAAGCGAUAUACAGAGUAUUACUUAAUUGAUCAGAAUAAUCUCACAAAAUUAAAGACUACACGCAGACAUAAUAAAUACAGUCAGCUCAGUUCAAUUUUUCCAGUCAUGCAGAUCAUAGUAAAAUGCGUAGCCCACGCACUUAGAACAAAACAUUUAACAAAAAUCACAAUAACUUUCUAGACAUUUAUGAGUUAACUAAAUGAGCCGUGCCCAAUUUGUGUUGUAGUAUUUAAGUGCUCCGGUAAGGGAUAACAAUCCUUGGCAAAUGCCACACCGAAAGCUAUUUGCCUGUUAAGAUUUCCUCAAUAAGUAUUAAGAUCACACGCUAAUUAAUCAGAGUCUUUUUUUUUUUUUUUUUUUUUUUGGGUACCAUUAUAAGAAAGCAAAAACAAAGGAGUGAAGCUUCAAAUUCUAGAUCAAGUCACCCUGGUGGAACAAUAUUAAAAGAUAACAUCACUCCUUUCCAUGUCCCCACACACUCCUACAACAAAGAUGUUUACAUGACCAAGUGCUCCAAAAAUUAUAACCAGUGCAACAUAUCUAACGACCACGGCCACGCCCGCGACCACGUCCACGGCCCCGACCACGUCCCACCGGCCUCCCUGAAUUUGGAAAGAAUUAGAAAGAUUAAUAUCAUCAGGAAUCAUGAAAAGAAGCAUACACAAAAACAAUGAACACAUGAAUGAAGCUUAAUCUGAGAAAUUAUGUCAAUACCAGCAGUCGGCUUCUUUGGCUUGACCCUAGGUGUCUCUUCAACCAGCAAUGUUUCAAGAUUCAAGCUGUCAGGAAGGAUAUAAUAACGGAUAUUGUUACCCCUCACACUUAGGUGAUCCAAGUUCACUGGAUUUUUCCCCUUCAGCGUAAGUUUCACUGUUUUCAAAUGUGUGUUCAUACUGAUAUCCACACCUGUAAUGAAACAGUCAAAUCUCCAGUCAGAACAGUUUCACCAUCCAUCCCCGUGCACAGAGUUGAUAGUAUUUCACCAAGGAAAACUAUGCAAUACAACUCUGCUCUGGUUAUUAUGUCACUCAAAUAAGUGCUCAGAAAAUAUGAACAUUUACCACCAAAGAGAAAGUCCUAAAAGGAAAGAAGAGAAAAGAGGAGGGGGAGGGCUCAUGAAAAUAGUACGAGUAUGAAGGUUCAAGGUAAAUGCAGCAGCUGCGUGUGUGAUUCCAUGUCAUGGGGUUUUGCAAGUGUGCAAAGGACGCAUGUAGCACAUAGAGAAAGGAGGCCCCAUUCUGACAAAGGAAAAUUGUACGAUCAUUUUCUACAAGGGCAAGAACUAUGAGAAAAUCAAGAAGGAAACAGGUUACUCAGGUAAUAUGGCAUCAAGUGCUUAUGACAUUGUACAAACACUUCUCUACAAGGGCAAGAACUAUGAAAAAAUGGAGAGGGAAACAGGUCACUCCGGUAAUAUGGCAUCAAGUGCUUGUAAACAGUCAAAAAUGGCAAUCUUACAUUGGUGCUACACAUAAUCUUCAACUUCUAAUUUAAAAACAUAAAAUCUCCAAUUCAACCAAUCACUAUGUUUACCCUUUUAACUUCUUUUAUGAAAGAAGGUUUCCCCACCAAAGAAACAAGACAAAUCCCAGUUACAAAAGAGCAGCUUUGUCAACUUCUUCGAAGUUGAUUGACCGCAGGACAUGCGGCUUCCAUAAGAAAGCUAGUCAGUGGAGUUUUUACACUGAGCUAUAAAAUUUAAAAACUUUCACUUACCAAAAGCGAUUUCUCAGGAUUGUAAAUCCUAACUUAUUAAACAUCCUAACUACUUAAACCUUCCUUCAUCGAAUUAAGAUACCAUUGAUAGUUUAUAAUGUCUUAAGAACGACCUCGGAAGCAAUUUCCUUCCAUAAAGGGAAUGAGUCCACAGUUUCUCCAAUGUUCAAACUACACAGAGGAAUGACUAUAAAUAUCUCCGCUUUACAAACCAAAAACGGCAUAAGAUUUCAGAGUAACUUCUCUCACUAGCCUCAACUUGAAAAAAAGGGUAAGAAAACCUCUAAAUUUCUGUCAAGAGAGAAAGCAAGGCACAAAAUCCAUCAACUUGCUGUGAUAAAAACCUGUAGAUGGGUAUGGAUAACUAAGGCAGACAUACAUCUCUAACAUGAAAAAUUUAAACAUACAAAACUAAGCAGUUAAACAAGGUAUUAAUCCUAAUAUAUAGCAAAUUCCAAUGCUUCAAUCGAAGAAAAGACAAUAUACAUAUCCUAGAAUGGGAUAUCCUACUAUCAUCUAUACUAAUCCAUACUGUUUACACGAAAAAACAGACAAGAGCACUAGGUUCUAACUCAUACUAUUAUCUAUACUAAUUUAAGUCUUAUAGAAGAAUCAUGACUCGCAGUUUAUCAACUAAAUUCCAUACCACACUGGAAGCCAAUAAAGGGGAAAAAAAGUAAAAAAAACCCCCAAAAUUAAGUGGUAACUUCAACUCAAUUGUUCAUAAUCGAGGCACAACUAGUCUAGCAGUUAACAACUUGUAUUCUAAUCGGAAAUUAAGCAUAUAUGUAAAAGAAAUAAAAAAAAAAAGAAAAAUAAAAGGCUAGGGUUUAACAAAACCCUAGAUGUACUAAACCCUGAAAAAGGAAAAUGGAAAUGAAGCAAUAAUAAGUGAAGAGAAAGUAACCUGUGAUGGUUCCGUGAACAAUGGUUCCGUUCUUCAGUUCAAUCGACACGGUCUCAUUGUUCAGCUUCAUCAAGAACCUGUGUGAUUUCCGAUUUCAGUCACGAGCAAAAAUUUUUUUAAAAAAAAAAAAUAAGGCAAAUCACAACAGUAACAAUAAAAGGAGAAAGAGAAAUUUGUUGUGACCGACCUGACAAGCUUCAUUUUGGUGAGCAAGACGAAAGCUAGGGCUUUGAAGCAAAAGCGGAGAGAAGAAGAUUCUCUGCUACUAGGAAGCGGGAACGUUGUGCUGCACUUUGUGGAUCUGAUUUAGGGCUCGGGUGUGUAGUAAGGCCUUUUUAGCCUGUCAAAACGGCUCCGUUUAAGUCAGAGUCAAUUUGUCUUUAUUGCAAGACACUAUAGCUCUUCCACCUCAAUAAUCCUAAUAUGAAAUUUGUGGAAAGAAAAGUAAGGAUGGAAUAUUUAUACAUUAAAGAUUAUUUUAAAUAUUUUAUUAUUUUAUACACUCGUAUAUUAAAAUAUUUUAAAAAAAAUUAUUUUAUUUUAUAUAUUUUUUAAAAAUUCUAAAAAUAUAUAUAUAUAUAAACUAAUAAAUUAAUUAACUUUAUUUACUCAAAACACUAAUAAAGCUAUUCAACACGGUCAAUUUGAAGAGAUUUAACUCAUAUUUACUAUAAUAUAAGUUCUAAAAAAUUAUUUAGCAUAAUUUCAGCUAUGACUUUUUUAUUAUUUAUGUUCAAUAUUAGAUUUUGCCCCCAAAACGACUUGUAAUGGAACAUAAUAAUUAAAAAAAAAGUACUCUAUAAAUUCUACCAAAAAAGAAAAGAAGACAGAGUAGAAAAAAUCUCACAUAUUUUGUAGUAAUUUUUUUUUUGAAAUAUUUAUUUCCUCUUUUAUUUUCAAGGCAUUGACUAGUGAGUAUAAUUUAUCAGCAUUCAAAGUAAUUGUGCAAUAUAAACUUAUAAGAAAUUAUUAUUAAUAGUAAUUUACAUUAUGAACAAUUUUGUAAUAAAUUAUUAAUUAAAAUUAAAGUGUGUAUAGAAUAAUUUUUAAGUACAAACAGUCCCGGCCAAAAAAUAAAUAGGCUUUGAAUUAGAAAAUCCCUCCUAAUUUAUUGAUGCAAUAAAAUCUUUCACAUCUAUGAGUUUUGUCAUACUGAAAAUGUUGCAAUUCUAGAAGGUCAAAGCAAAUUGCAAUUUGCAUGGGUGGCAGAUGAAUGUUAAUUAAGCUUUUUUGGUCGCUGAAUAAUUAGUUCAAUUGGACCCUAUAAAGUUCGGUUGUUACGAUUUUGCCCAUCCAAUUUUGUGCACGAACUAAUUGAUUCCUCAUGUCCGUGAGAAAAGUUUUUACAGGAUAUUUGAAGACGAUUAAAUAAAUAUUUUAAUAAAAACGAUAUACAAUUUUGAACGAAUGUUAAAAUAUGAUCACCUAACAAAUAUUUGGAAAAUUUACACUAAUAACCAUAAAAAUUUUAACUUUUUUUAUCUUAGCCCCCCAAACAAACUUCUAUCAAUAUUAGCCAUAAAAAAGCAUUUGAGACCAAAAUACCCCUCUUUCUCAUCUUGAGAAAGCGGGAAUAUACGCAACCAACUAUCAGCACAAUUACACAAUGCUUUUAUUUUUCUUUUUUCUUUUUUAUUUUGGGUAGCGAGAGAACAUUUACAACUUGACGCACAUCUUGAAUUCAACUAACAUGCAGUCAUACCUUGCAACACCUUUUCCUGGAGUCCCACCGCACCAUGCAACCUCAGCAAAGCCUUUAAUAAUGUUUCCUUCAACUAGUUCGCCAUGCACUUCAAGGUUCACAACCUUCGGGAUUCCACUACCUUUGCAUAAUGAAGGUGCAUAAAAAAGAACAAUAGAGACUUUUAAUAAGCAUUCAGCAAAACAAUGAAUUUUAAAAAAUAAAAUAAAAUAAUUUACCAAUGUCUUCAUGCUUUGGCCAAUAUGAAAGAUAUGCAAUUUAAUUCAACAAAAAGUGAAAGACAUACCCCGUGAAACUGGAGAAGAUAUGGCAAAGAUAGGAGAGUACUCAGUUUCUCCCAGUAUAGGAGUACAUUCCACUUUCAGAAAUUUACCAAUGUCUUCAUGCUUUGGCCAAUAAACCUGGUCAUCAUAAGGUGUCAUCAACAUAAGAGAAGAGAGAGGAAAAGCAAUAUUUUCCACCCAAAGUCCAAACAAUAAAGAAGAUAUAGCUAGAAUCAGUUACCUCACUGGUGACACCAGAAAUAGCAACAAAAAUUGAAAGUGGUCUCUCUCCUAUGAACCACUGAUAUUUCAAACCUAAUUGUAGAUCAGUGCUCACAGUGCUGUCUUGAACAAAAAAAAAGUGACUGUGACAAGCAUCUUGUUCGACUGGUUGAUCUUUUUCAUGAUUUUCUGUUAUCUGGGCAGGUUGAUGGUUCAUUUGAAAAGCUUCAAAACUCUCGGGCAUUUAAAAGAGAUGGAGAAACAAGUGUUUUUGUCUGGACUAGCAAAGCCAUUGUGGACACCUUGGCUAAACAUUGGACAACAACUAGAGGUGCUGAGAUUUUGUCCAUGGUGUCCAGUCAGCUCAAGGAUAAGCAGCAGGAGCAUGAAAAGUUUCUGCAGUUUCUAGCUUGGUGCGACAGGCGCCUGUCGCACCAAGUUUCAUGCGACAGGUGCCUGUCGCUCUAAGUUUUACCUGUCGCACCAAGCUUCGUGCGACAGGCAGUCUGUCGUCAGAUUCACUCACGACUCGCAGUUCCGAAACUCUCGAUCAAGUUCAGAAGGGUAAUUUGGGGAGAAAAGCGUGUGUUUGGCUAAUGUUGAUAGAAAAAAGUUGAGAGGAUUAAUUGUGAAAAUAAUAAAAGUUUUAUGGUUAUUUUUGUAAAUUUCCCCAAAUAUUUUGUAAAACUUACAUGAACCUGCAUUAUGUAUAUAUGUUUUGUUAAGUCAUGACAAUCUGAAUAUAAUUUUUUUUUUUGAAAUAUUAUUAGCUAGUGGAUAUAGGAGGAAUAUCCACCACAGCCAUCGAAUCGAGUUAGUGACCAUACAGAGUAAUUACUUUAAUCAAUUAAGCAGAAAUAUAAUUUAUAUAUAUCCUGAAAACAAUCCCACAAUAUCAUACAUCUCGAAAGAGUUAAUUUACAAAUAUAAAUAUCAAACUCAACUCAUAAAAGAAAAUAUAUAAACAAAUAAAAAGUAACAAACGUGGGGCAAAUUCAUAAUGGUGCCCCCCUAUUCAAACCAAAUAAAAACUUAAAAAAUUUGUCACCAACAACUUGGAUAUGUAGGAUUCUUUUAGUUAAGCAGUGGAAGUGAAGUUGAAAUCGGCGCACGUAGUUUGCCUCCGCAAGAGUGCAGAGCUGAAGCCUAGCCUUGAUGUUGCCGAAUCAAACUGAAGAAGCAUGUCCUCCAACUGGUGCCCUCCGAUGACAAUGGAAAUUGUAGGUUUCGAACCGCCAUUAACAAACCCUGGACAAUACAUAUCUUCAUGGACCUGCACCAUCAAGUUUGCACCAAAGAUGCGCCAUAUCAAAUUCUCAUUCUCUGCGAAACAAGUUGGAUGGUCAGCACGGAUGCCCCCAAACGCGUGCCAAGUAUGUUCCUUGAGUUGAAACACACAUCAAAGGGUGCCACGGAUGCCACCCUGGUGGUGUUUCUAGCAGAUGAACGCCUCUAUUACUGCCUUAAAUAUCGACUUCUCCAAUGUAGUGAGGGAUUCACAGUGCUAAUUUUUGUUCCGCCCAAGCCCUGGCUGUCUAUUGACAGCAAUGCGGAGUUCAAGGGGACGACUCUGUCAUCAACCUUGAUUGAUUUCACUCCAAUGAAGUAUUCAGCGGAGGGCUCGCCUCGUGCGCGAGCGGAAGCUGUGUUUGCGGGGUUAAUGAAGAGUGGCAUGAAAGCAAGACUGUCAGAUGCAUCAACGUUGGGUGGAAAUACAUAAGGACCGUCGCUGAAGAAAAUGACACCUUUUGAAUUGGGGGACAAAGCUAAAAGCGGAGGAAAUUGUAAAGGUAAAGCAGUUCUAGUCCUGCCAAGACCAGCCAUUCCCACAACUCCACUAGCAAGGCCCUCCAACAGAAAAUCAUUGGCUGCACAAGAAAAUAGGAAAUCGAACACUGUUACAGUCCUGCUGCCAGGAUUGAAGCCGUUUGUUGGCUGGACAGAAAAUAACAUCUUGGACGAAUUCUCCGCUGGUGGCAAUUUCAAUAAGGGAGUUAUCAGGUGUGGCACCGCAUGUGUUGUUGUUGCACCCUGGCCUUGGCGAUGAAAAGCAGUCGCCGCAGCUGUUGGAUCUAGCCACUGAGCAUUGGGCUGACUUACACCUCACUGGGCCGUACGCCGAGGACGAAUAGUUUUGUCUGCAAUCAACCACUUAAAUUCCUUAGGAAUUGCUUUUCUUAGCAAGCAGAGCAGAAAAACCAAAAGCUUUGUAUUGAAAUAAAACUUGAAUGAAAAUGUUUACAGGCCAUCGUCUAUUUAUACAUAAAGAAACAAAAAUGACAGCUAGCUAAGGAUAACAAAUUCAAAUAAAACAAAACAAUCCGUGAAUCAUUAGCCAAUGAUAUAAUGCUUCCAGAAUCUUCAUCCAUUCAUCCCAUGUGCUGAUAUUCCUCUGUGUAAUUAUUUUGCCACCUCAUUGAAUUUAUCUCAGUUCUUUCAUCAGCUGGUAAAUAGGUGUAGCUCAGGUGGCAUGCCAAUGUGUCACUGAGGUCAGCUGAUGACUGGUCAUGGUCAUGGCUGAUAUUUUCAACACCCUCUCUCAAACACAAGGUUUUGUCAAAUACCUUGAGUUUGCUUUUGAAGCAGCUGAAUUUGUAAUAAGGUAAUAGCUUAGUUAGAACAUCGGCUAUUUGAUCUCUGCCUGCAACAAAGCUAAUUUCCAUUUCACCUUUAGCUACCUUGUCCCUGAUAAACUGUAGGUCUAUCUCAAAAUGCUUAGUUUUUGAGUGAAAGACAAGAUUGGUGGCUAUGGCAGCUGCACUUGUGCUAUCACUUAGGAUUGUUGGUGUUCUUUAUAUCUCUAUUUUCAGCUCACUUAGUAAGAAGCUAAUCCAUGUUAGUUCUGUAGUACAAAGGGCCAUUGCUCUGUAUUCUGAUUCAACCGUAGAUCUAGCAACUAAGCCUUGCUUUCUUGAACUCCAAGCAAUGAGAUUUCCACCCAGAAAUACACAAUAGCCACCGAUAGACCUUCUGUCAUCCAAAUCAUUUGCCCAAUCUGCAUCUGUGUAAGCUAUCAAAUCAAAGUACUUUGACUUUUUGAAUUUCAGACACAUGUUCAUGGUGCUUUUGAAAUACCUUAAUACUCUUUUGCAUGCUAUCCAGUGAGGUUGCCUAGGAUCAGACAUGUGUUGGCUAAGCUUGUUCACUGAAUAAGCAAGCUCAGGUCUUGUGAGUAUUGCAUACUGCAGGCUACCUAUAACACUUCAAUACAGUGUGGGAUCAUGAAACUUUUCUCCUUCAUUCUUCUUCAGCUUUUCUGUAGUACUGAAAGGUGAUUCAAUUCCUUUACAGUUACUCAUUUAUGUUUUGGCAAAAAAGUCUUGUAUAUACUUAGUUUGAGGCAGCAGAAUAGCAUUUUGAUUUCUGUUUACUUGAAUCCCCAGAAAGAAGUUUAGCUCUCCCAAAUCCUUUAAGGCAAAGGCCCCAUUUAAAUUGCUGACCAGUUCUUCAAUACUGCCACUGUUGUCACCAGUAAUAAUGAUGUCGUCAACAUAAAUAAGCAGUAUAACUAUCUCAGAUUUAGUUCUUCUGUAGAACAAUAAGGUAUCACACUUGGAGUUUUCAAAUCCCCAAGAGUUUAAGGCACCUUUUAGUUUGUCAAACCAUGCCCUCGGGGCUUGUCUCAGACCAUACAAUGCUUUCCUUAAUCUGCAUAUGUGAUUAGGCUUGCUUUUGUCUACAAAACCUUCAGGCUAUGGCAUGUAAACCAUUUCUGUCAACUCACAAUUCAAGAAGGCAUUGUAUAUAUCUACCUGCCUCAGCAUCCAGUCAUUGUUUACUGCCAAAGUAAGGAUGAUUCUGAUUGUUGCAGCCUUAACAACUGGGCUGAAGGUCUCUGUGAAAUCAAUGCCUGGAAUCUGCAAAAAUUCCUUCACCAUUAAUCUGGCUUUAUAUUUGUUUAUGGUUCCAUCUGGAUUCUCUUUGACUUUGUACACCCAUUUAUUUCCAAUCAGCUUGUAGCUUGAGUCAUUUGGUACCAAUGUCCAUAUUUAAUUUUUUAUCAAGGCAUUGUAUUCAUCUUCCAUUGCCUUUUUCCAGCUUGGUUCUUUUAAGGCUUCUGAGGGGUUUGAGGGUAAUUAUGUCUGUGGUUUAGUAGAGAUUUAGUACAAUUUUAGUUUAAAGAUCCCUGCUUUAGAUCUUGUUACCAUAGGAUGUGAUGGAACAACUCCUCUUGUGUUGGGUGCUGUAAUAAGGGAUGAAGGUUGGUCAUUUGUUUGAGGCUGGUGAUUUGAAUGAAGUGAAAAUAAUUGAUUAUUUGAUAUCAUAUCAGUGCUCAAAUUCUAUUGUGUCUUACCUUGGUCAAAGUUCUGGGAUUGUUCUGAAGUUUCAGGAGUCUCAAGAGAGUGGCUUUGAUCAGUUGCUGUCUGAGUGUUUUGAGGAGUAUCAAGAGAGAAUGACAAGGCCUAAAAUUUUUCUAAAAAAGUAAUAAAAUCACUCUGACUUGUAGACUCUUGUCUACUGAACUUGGUGUCAUUAGAAAAAGAAAAUGAGAUUUCAUUGAAUCUAACACUUGCAGAGAUAUAUAUUCUACAUGAGUGAUGUAUGCAAACAUAUCUCUUGUGAGUUAUGCUUAUUCCUAGCAGUGUGCAUUUGGCAGUAUGGAAAUCAAACUUGUGCUUGUUAUAUGGUCUCAAAAAUAGAUAUCAUUCACACCCAAAUACUUUGAUUUGUGAGUAGUUUGGUUUGUAAUGGUAAAGCAAUUCAAAAGGGGUUUUAUUUCCAAUAACAGGUAAGGCUAAUCUAUUGAUAAUGUAGGUGGCAUAAGUGAAAGCUUCUUGCCAGACCUUUAAUGGCAUUUUAGCUUGUGCUAGCAAUGUGAGCCCAGUUUCUACCACAUGUCUGUGUUUUCUCUCAACCUUACCAUUUUGUUCAUGUAGAUAUGGACAUGAUUGUCUCAAUGCUAUGCCCUCUUUGUCAAGAAAUGUUUUGAAUGGUUUAAACUCUCCUCCCAUGUCUGUCUGUAAUGCUUUAAUUUUCAGAUUCAAUUGGUUUUCAAUUUGACUUUUGAAGGUGAUGAAUGUAUUGAGAGCUUGGGAUUUUGUUGUCAAGGGAAACAACCAUGUGUAUCUUGUCAUGUCAUCCACAAAAGAUAUGUAAUAUUUAUGUCCAUGACUUAAGGGAAUUGGUGCUGGUCCCCAAAAGUCAGCAUGAAUCAAUUAUAGAGCCUUAUUGGUUUUAGUUUAUGUGCUUUUGAAGUUUUGAUUAGAUUGUUUUCCAUACUGACAUGCACAACAAAGUGAAGGAACAUAAUUCUUGUUUAAUUUGAACUGAUUACAAGACAACAAGGUGCUUUUCAGAGUAGACUCAUUUGGGUGCCCUAGUCUGAGAUGCCAGAGAUCAAUAUCUUUCAAAGCAUCAUUGCUUGAUCUAUCAGUUUCAGAGGACUCAACACAAAUAUUUGCUAACUUGACACUACUCAAAUUAAAUGAUAGCAUAGACACUGGAUUGCUGAUGCAAUUUAUUGACUCAGGCAUGAGAGAUGAAGAUAAAACAGCAGCAUAAGGAGUUUUGUUCCCACUCAGGUGAGUAAGUAAGCACAUCAGCUUAUAAAGCCCCUCUCUAGCCACUCAUUUCACCAGAAUUUUCCCUUGUCUCUUGUCCUUGAUAAAACACACAGAUUUUUUAAAUUCGAUAUCAAUAUCAUUAUCAUGCAAUAAUCUGGAAAUGCUAAUGAGAUUUUUAGUGAUGCUUGGCACAAAUAAUAUGUCAAUCAAGGCUAUGUGUUUAUGUGGAUUUGAAGUGGAAAGCACAGAGUUACCAAUAUGAGAGAUCAAUAGUUUUUCACCAUUUCCAACAGUUAACUUUUCAUUACCUUGAUACUCAGAGUUGAUGUUUAUGUUGUUAAGGGCAUUUGUCACAUGGUUUGUGGCACCACUGUCCAAGUACCAGGCUCUACUGCUUUGGCCAUCAGUUGCAGCCACAUAUGCACCUCUUGGUUCUCUCAUUUGCCUUGGUUGUGACACAUAAUUCUUUUUGAAUUUGUGCCAGCAAUCAGCAGCUAUGUGUCCCAUUUUCCAGCAAAUUUGACAAGGCCCCUUUGGAUUUGAAUCAUCAUCAUCACUCACAGCUUUGCCUUUCCCUUUGUCAUGAGAGUUCUGAUUUCCUUGACCAUUACCAGAUUCAUUGCCAGGGGUUCUGAAAACUAUGCCAGGUUGGUAUUGAUUUCCAGCCCUAUUCUGGUUGUUCCAAUUCAUUCUCUCAUUUCUCAUUUGUGUAUAGUUUGCCUCUAUAGUCCCUGAGCUUAUGUUGUGUUCAGUUCUGUUUUCUUGGCUGAGAAGCAUGCCAUAGACUUAAGAAUGUGAGGGACUUUCCUGCAUUGAAUUUAUGCUAGCAAUAAUUGAAUCAUAUUCUGAUCCCAAACCAGUAAAUAGACACAUGAUAAAGUCAUCAUCACUCAUAUUACUCCCUGCAGCCUUAAGUGCAUUUAAUAUAGACUUCAUUCUAGAGUAAUACUCAUGAAUGGUUAGUGAGUCCUUUUUGGUGGUCUGGAUUUGUGUUAUGAGAUGUAAGAUUCUAGCUCUAGUUCUUGCACUGAAUUGAUUGGAAAGAGUUGUCCACACCUCAAAGGAGGUGGAACAAUCCACCACAGUGCCUAACACUUCCUCACUAAGUGAAGAUAACAACCAACUUAGGAGGAUGUGGUCCUGCUUCUUCCAGACUUGGUAUUCUGGGUUAGGUGUGGUAAUUAUUGUUUGAUCUUGUCCAAGGUUUAUGAAAACUCUAGGAGGGCAGAUAUGGCUGCCAUCUAUGAACCCCCCAAGCUCAUUUGCUCUAAUGCUAGAAAUCACUUGUGAUCUCCAUAGCAUGAAAUUGUUUUGAUUUAGCUUAAUGGGAGUUGUGAAUACAUAUGUGCUGCUGGUGAUGUGUUGAGUGGGUGAAGGUGAGUUGUGACUCAAAUUUUGUUCAAUGUUUUGAGGGGUGUUUUGAUUUUCAUUUUGAUUCAAGUUGCCCAUCUGAUCAUUUUGGUUCACAUUUGCUUGUGUGCUGCUGCUGCUUGCCAUAGCUUUGAAGAUGGCUCUGAUACCAACUUAAAUUCCUUAGGAAUUGCUUUUCUUAGUAAGCAUAGCAGAAAAACCAGAAGCUUUGUAUUGAAAUAAAACUUGAAUGAAAAUGUUUACAGGCCAUCAUCUAUUUAUACAUAAAGAAACAAAAAUGACAGCUAGCUAAGGAUAACAAAUUCAAAUAAAACAAAACAAUCCGUGAAUCAUUAGCCAAUAAUAUAAUGCUUCUAGAAUCUUCAUCCAUCCAUCCCAUGUGCUGAUAUUCCUCUGUGUAACUAUUUUACCACCUCAUUGAAUUUGUCUCAGUUCUUUCAUCAGCUGGUAAAUAGGUGUAGCUCAGGUGGCAUGCCAAUGUGUCACUGAGGUUAGCUGAUGACUGGUCAUGAUCAUGGCUGCUAUUUUCAAUACAACCCACGUGAAUUGGUCGCCUAGAUCAACCACCAGGUUUACUGGCAACAGUGAGGUUCUCUGGUUGAUAGUGGUCACAAACUAAAGUGUGGAAGCAUUUUUUGUGACGAGAACUACCAGAGCUUUUGGCCAGAAAGAUUUAUGAGCGAAAGAGGGAGGAGCAAUGGAAAAUAAAAUGAGACCAGAGAAGAGAAUGCACACUAAAUUCGUAGAGAAGAUGCCGUUUUAAUUUGUUUGCAAGAAUCAAAAAGCUUGUAGACGUUGGAAAUGAGAUGAGCGUGGACAGACUGUGGCAAGGCCGCCUCCAUUUAUAGUUCCUAUAAUUCAUAUUUAUUAAUUAUUAAUAUGCAGUGCAUGCGGCGGGUUGGCUCUGACCGCUGACGUGCUGAGACCAGACGUCUUCCAAGACUGCUGUAAUUUUAUACCACUGGAUCCAAAUCCAUAAAUAGUGUCCCAAAUAAUAGUCUUACAUACAUUCAAGCGCGGAGACGAUAUUUCUUUUCUUUAUUUAGAACACUAGAAUAAAUAUAUCCAAUAAUUACAACAUGUGUAUAUGACAAUAUUGUAACAUAAUUUAUACUUUUUUCCCAAGUAAAAAUCAUUUAUUUAAAAGAUAAUUCCCCUAGGUUUUUGUGUUGUGGAUGGCAAUAGCUACCAGUCUUUUAAGAAAGUAAUUUUCUUUGCUUGAACAGUAAGGCAAUGAACACUAAAAAAUUGUUGUGUAGAGAUAAAAGAAAUAUCGUAGCAGAAUUAGAUAAUUGUAUAUUUGUACUAAUUAUACGAUGUUUGAGACUUUUAAAGCUUUUAACAAACUUGUCAAAGGGAUGUAAAAAUUUUAAUUAAUUCUAAAUUUCAUCUCAUAAGGUUACAUUGAAGAUUUUUCGGAAAAGAGAAAUAACAUAAGAUUAUUGGGAAAAGGUUAAUAAUUAAAGAAAUUUGACUUUAGUGAAAGGAAAUUGUUUGAACCAGUGAACCCAUUGAAUCCUCUGUUGGGGACUUUUAUACCAUAUGCUCACGAUGGUGAGCAUGGUAACGUGUGGCCCGCGGCCAUUUGGAAAGAAUUAGAGUGCGUAUUUGAGCCCAUUGAAAACUUUGGAUUAAUAAUAUCCAGUGGCAUUAGACAAAUGCUUUCGCAUAUAAAAACCGAAUUUAAUUUUUUGUUCAGCUUUGUUCAUUAAUCACCUCCAAAGACUGUAUAGUGUCAACCCGAAAGUUCGAAGAAAUACGGAUGUUGAGUGAGCCUAAAACUACCCAAAAGUAAAGCCAUUAGCUGUCUAAAUACUCAAUGGCUCAAUUCCAAGCUCUGUAGUUCACAUCACAGCACAUUCACCGUCAUCAUUACAGUUCACAUCCCCAUAUGGGGCAUUCCUCGGCUGUAUCCCUCGAUGAUGAUGAGCAUAAUAACUUGGUGGUGUAGUGAAGGGAUGAACAUAAUUUGGCACCGUUGGUGGCCCAUAAUGGGGCAUCGGCUCCAUAGGCUUCUCCACGAACCCAUUGCCAAACCCUGAAGCCCCAGCACCAUGACAACAUCUUUGAGUUACAUUAUUUUUCGCUACAUGUCCAUUACCACUCUUUGUAAUCAGUGAAUUGCAACUAUUUGCAUGACCACUGUAUCCUUGUUGCUCUUCAUUGUGCAAUUCAACUUCACGCUGACCAUUCAGGUUGAUUUUCAUGGCAUGAUCAUUGUUAUUAGCAUGGCUCAUGUCAUUGUUAUGGUCCUUGAAGGUUAAUUUUAUGUUUUCAGAGCGGCGUAGCCCUAUAUGUUUUAGUCCUUUAAUCUUGGCCAGCUCUUGCAACUGUGCAUGGUCAAACGUAAUUGCUCGAGGGCUACCUCCUGCCGGUGCUGCUGGUUGUGAUUGUGGUGAUGGUGCAUUUUCAUUUUGCGGCUUUUUGAGUAGCUGCUCGACGUGGGGAUUUUGAUUUCUCCUAGGGGUUUGUAUAGGAUCCCAUAAAAGCUCUGCCUUUUUCCCAGCCUUUGCUAGCUUUGCUAUGAACAGGUGUGGGUCUACUGUACUUGAGACUGCCACUGUUCCCUCAUUUGCAUCUAUGCUGAUUGUAUGCACGCCUGCAGAAUGACAAAAGACACAGUUCAUAAAAUUGAAAUGUGCAAUCGUAUUUCUCUUUAGGGGAAAACGGGAAAGUUACCAUGAAUUUUCUUCAACACUUUCUUCACCCUCCGCUGGCAAGUCUCACACUUUAGUUGCAUUUUUAGAACACAGGUCUGCAAUGCCAAAAUACUUAACAGAUAACAUUUUUGUCUCAACCAUCACAUCCAUAUGAUUGUAUGUAGAGAUUGAUAUGCUUUGAAUGACAACAUGUACCUGGGGAGAAACCUGAUUGUUGUCCAUUGAAGUUGACUUUCAGAUCUCCGAAAACAAAUGCUAGUUGUUGGUGUGCUCACCAAAUGCCAGAUACUUCACUGCUGUUCUUAGAAAAAUGCCGAUGGGGAUGCCUUGAACAGUUUUCAGGUUUAAAGAGUGAUAUCUAUACGCACGUAAUUUUGGUCUUAAAUUUAGAAAUUAAUUAUUGAUUUAGUGUCAUGUAAGAAAUUUAAUAGAAAAUUUUCAAGGAAGAUAUUCUGUAUAAAUGCCAGAAUUCGUAUUGAUCUCUUUUGAGUUAUGAUAUUUAGAUUUGUAUGAAGAAGUCACAUCUUGAUUUGCUAGUGCGACAUCCAAAUUUUAAGUGUCAAAAUAACAUUGGAUAUCAGAUACCAUCAAAUUCGAUGGUGCCAAUCGAUGUCUUGUACAGGGAAAAUGAUCAAAGAGGGGGGGGAGGUGUCAUUAAUUACACAUAAUGAUAGCCAUUUAUUGGAUUUAAUCACACAUGCAGAAUGGAAAUGACUUGAAAUCUAAACUAAAAGAGAGCCUUGCAUCACAGUAAUAGCUUUCCCUCGCAGCUGCACUCUCCGAUUCUGCUCAUCCAAAUGAAUGUUCAAGAUCCCACUUCUAGGUGAUGCCUGAGUGUAGUAGAAAGUGUAAUCAAUAUAUAACAAUUAUAAGAAUAUGAAUAAAUGUUAAUUAGACUGAAAUGGAUGCAAAGAGAGUACCGCAUAUGCCACAAAAUCACACUUUCCAAGCUUUUGACUCCAAUAGGUUGCCAAAGCACAAUAUGCGCUCCCACAAACAGGAUCCUGAUAUAAACAAGUCAUGUACAUAAGAGACUAUUCAUUAGAAUUGUUACAGUCUUGAGAUAGUUUUUGAAAAUGAUUUCCGUCUUACUUAUUAGAUCCUAAACUACAAUACCAUACAUAAAAGAAAGUUCUUUGGUCUCUUACAUAGACACGCUACUUCAGAUGCCAAACAUCCUUCAUUGAAAACAAAACAGAGCAGUAUACGUUAGAGGCACUAAAUAUUUUGAAGUUAGCAAAAGGGGGAAAAGGCAGUAGAAAAUGAACAUUUUCAGCAGUAGCAUUUACACUCAAUUUGCAGUCCUCAUUACUCAUCAGAUGCUCUCAAGACAGGAAUGAUAUUCAAUGCAGAUCUCCUUGUAGCAUGAGUUAUCAUUCAGUCAUGUUUAUGAGAAAUGUCCAUGCUCAUAAUAGUCGUAUGUGAACUCAAUCAUUAAAACCAACGAGUUAUUACCUCAUUGAUGCAAAAUUUAGGGCAGAAGAAUCGGCUAUAAAAAUCAAAUCCAGACUCUGGGGGAGCUAGCCCUGAAACAAUUAUGCCUCUUCUUCCAGGACAUUUUUUCAUUUCAUCAAACUUUGGCUGCAAGUCUGCAACAGAUUUUGCUGAUGGGAGCACCACCUGCGUAAUGUAGCCAACUUUAUUCAGAACAACUAUUGAAACUAUAUCCAAAUGAGUGAAGGGUAAAAAGAAAUUACAAAGAUGUCUUCACAGGUAGUUGUUAUCUUCAUAUCCACGACUGAGGAGACACCCAAAGCCUUGAGAAUUAAUGAAACCUCAGAAAAAUUAAAGUCAGCAGUUGGAGCAGCAGGAAAAUCCAAUUCAAUAAAAUAGCACUCUUGUGCUUCACCAUUCUGAGAAUUAGAGUCAUUCAUUGCCUUAACAUCUGGGACCUUUUUGGCUGUUAGAAUGCCAGACAGUGUGGCAAAUUCAAUUGUGUUGGAGUUUACCAAAUCUGUCGAAAAGAGCGUGUGCGCAGCUGCUAAUGUUGCAUGCCCACAAAGUUCCAUCUGCAGAAAAUCUUAUCCUGAAGAUCAAAAUAUACACUCCUUUGUAUUGACGUGUCGUAUAUAUAAAUCACUAUAACAUAACAUGAAUACAUGAAAAUAUAUGUUAGCAUGAUGAUCACUCCACAAAGCUUUAGUUAUGAUUUCCAUUCAGAAAUAAAAAGAUGCAUAGCCACAUAAAUAAGAGUGACCAUUCAACAAUGAUUAAUCAUAACAAAACUAAAACCACAAGGAGUAUGAUAAAUCGUGAAGCUCCCGACCCGAACUAAGCCAAAUAGCUUCGUCCACAAUUUAUAAUUAUGAGAACUAAAACUGACCUCAGCAACAGGAGUGAACCAUCUAAGACGGAACCUCGGAUUAGGCGAUUCAGCAUCAGUAAGGCGAGUCAAGUAACAGGUUUCGGAGAUAUUGAACUCAGAAGCCACUGCUUGUAGCCAUUCUUCAUCUCUAUCUUCCUCUAACAAACAAACCGCUGCGGGGUUCCCCUUGAAAGCUGAGUCAGUAAAAGCAUCCACCUGUCAAAGCAACAAAAAGAACCCAGUCCCAUUCAACCACAACGGAACAUCAAUCUAUAUACAAAAGAGGAGAUUACUAUUAGUUACCACAGAGUAUUGUACGAGCUUCUUGGCCAUGUUGCAGAAUAAAGAGUGAUAAGUGAAACUUGGAGUCGCAAGAAGAGGGAUUGACUGAAAGGUUAAAAACCAAUCACAUUGCCAGAGAUAUCAGAUACCCCUGGCAGGAAACUCUCUCUUUUGGGGAUUGGGCUCAAAUUAAGUUCUGCUACAUUAUUGAUUUGAAAAUGACAUUGUAUUAACCAUCUCAUAUUCUACUAAACUCCUUACUGCGUACAUAGAAAAUUAAAAUUAAAGAUAAAAAAAAAAGAAAAGAAAAGAAAGAUGAAUGAUGUUUCAAUUUUUUUUAGAGAUUGUUUUUAAUAGUAAAUUGUUCUAUUAUUAUUUUAAUUGAAAAUGAGUGUUUAGACUCUAUUAAAUAAGUAUAAUUCUCUCAUCCUCCUAUUUAUUUAUUUUUUUCAUUCUUUUAUUUUUUAAAAUUUUCUUAUAAGAUUUCUUAUUACCCGCAUACAUUCAUCAAAGUAGAAGAGUAGAAUUGACAGAGAGAACGUCUAUAAAUCUACCGGUCAACAAAUAAAUUUUACAGCCAAUAAUUGAGACCCAGAAUUACAGACCACUUCAUCAAGAUUACAUGAAGUUGGUACAUGAUAUAAUGCACAAUCUUAUUUAUGCACAAGAAUGGGGCCCCGACAACUGGGCAAAUUAAUCAAAUCCCUUGGACAUUGUCAGGAAUUAGGAAAAGGUAAUGCUGGGAAUCUCGGCUGAACCAUUUUUUCUUCUUCUUAAUCCUUGUCAUCUUCAAAGAUGUCACAUCCUUUGAUUACGUAACUGUACCGGUGACCAAAUUAUAGAACUGUUCAAAGAAAAAACUUAUUAGGUAUUAGACGGUCUGUCUUAAUCCUCAGUAAACAAUCAAUCAACAAAUGCACAUUCACCACUAACUUUACUAUUAUCUAAGAGGUUUCUAACAUCAUCAUCUGAUUACAUGGCUUUAAAUCCAGCAUGAAAUGCAGCCUCCAAAUGAGAGAACUUAUGAGACAAAUUACCUUGCGGACACCAUGCAGCAACAGACAACCUAUGAAAUGAAUCUUGAACCCGUAGCACAACCACAUCUGCAUCAUUACUCUACUCAAUGAAGGUACAAAGGAGUUUAACUCCUAACAAUAAAAUCUAUUAAUAUGUUCUGCAGUAAAAAGAUAAAUAAAGAACAGAUAUACCGAAUGGUUGACACAUAAUUAAUACAGAAUAAAGAUGAGACUUGAAUUUUUUUUUUUUUUAAUCCUUAAUAAAACCAAGCGAAUACUCGUUCCAACUUACUUUUUGGAUAAUAAAAAUUUUAUGCCAAACAGGUGUUAUGAUGCUGGGUACAGAGAGCAGAAAAUGAAUUGUAAUUAACAGAGUGAAGAACAAAAGGACAUUUAUAUAUACACAUAUACAUAUACAUACAUAUGUAUGUAUAUGUACCUUGUAGCCUUCAACAAUCAAUUCUACACCAUGCAUUCAAGACAGCUAUCUUAUCAGCGUCAACAUGAACUUUCCUCUUCAAGGUCGAGCCAUUCAAGGCUUUAAUAAUAUUAGCCUACUACAAGCAAAAAAUUACUGCAGUUGCAGCAUUUGGGCAAAUUAUAUGUCAAAUCAACAGCAAAGCAUUAUGUUUUAAUAAGAAAUUAAGAUUCAAUCUGGACUCCGCUACUGCAACAUGUAUGCUGCAUACAGCUCACCUCAAUACUGACUGAUAACUUGAUAUGAGAAUGACAACUUUAGUGUAAAUGUAAAGAUUUACAGAAACAGGAUAUCAUUUCAUUCUACUGCAUUCCAUGUCAGCAAAUUUCAUACUGGAACAACUUAAUCAAACUAGUAUGCUUAGUAAAUGCUUGUCCUUUGGCAACUUGGGAAGGCAGUGUGCUUGAAUGAACCAAAAGCACACAUAGACACAUGCAGAUAAAGAUAAUUAUAUGAGCAUUAUAGACAGGAAAAUCAAGGCAGAAAAUUACCCAAGGUGGUAGAGCAAACAAGCCUCUAAUUUCAUAGGCAUCUAACCGUGGAACAAGUUCCAUCAACAACGAUCAUUUAACCACAUUCGAGACUGCUGAUUGCUAACCUGCAACAAAAUAAAAUGAGCCCCAAUAUGAUUAAUGAACUUGCACAAAUUAUAUGGAUUCUUUUCUCUGAAAAAUGUCUUUGUUCUGAAAAACAUCAGAUCAAAAGGAACCGUAGCGAAAAUACACGAACAAAAACACCUCAAAUAUCUUCAGCAGAACAAGUAGUGAUCAACAAAAUGCACUCCAAUGAAAUUGGCUUACUGUUUAUUGUAUUACAAUGAAGUGAUUUUAUCUUAUAACAUUGGAUAUCGGAUACCACCAAAUUGGAUGGUACAAAUGUAAAUUUUAUCUUAAAGAUGUCUUGUACAAGGUAUCGAAACAUGAUCAAGAAACACUCCAGGAAAUCAUUAUUUGCACGUAAUGAUUGACAUUUAUUGGAGUUGAUCACACACGCAUAAUGGAAAUCACUUGAAAUCUAAACUAACAGAGAGCCUUCCAUCACAGUAAUAGCUUUUCCUCGCAGCUGCACUCUCUGAUUCUGCUUGUCUACAUGAAUGUUCAAGAUCCCACUUCUUGGUGAUGCCUGAGUCAGGUAAAAUGUAAUCAACAUAUAACAAUUAGAAGGAAUAUGAAUAGACAUAAAUUAGAGAGAAAUGGAUGCAAAGAGAGUACCGCAUAAGCCACAAAAUCACACUUUCCAAGCUUUUGACUCCAAUAGGUUGCCAAAGCACAAUGUGCACUCCCACAAACGGGAUCCUGAUAUAAACAAGUCAUGUACAUAUAAGACUGUUAUUAGAACUGUUUCAAUAUUGACAGAGUUUUUGAAAAUUAUUUCCAUCUUACUUAUUGGAUCCUAAACUACAGUACCACACAUAAAAGACAGUUCUUUGUUCUCUUACAUAGACACAUUACUUCAAAUGCCAAAAAUCCUUCUUGAAAUCAAAACCGAGCAAUCUACACUAGACUUUAGAGGCACUAUAUGUUUCGAAGUUAGCAAAUGGGUGAAAAGCUAGUAGGAAAUGAGCAAUAAUUUUGUUCACUUUCAGCUGUUACAUUUCACUCAAUUUGCAGGCCUUAUUACUCAUCAGAUUUUCUAAAACAGAAAUGAUAUUCAAUGCACAUCUUCAUGUAGCAUGAGUUAUGACAAAUGUACAUGCUCAUAAUACAGUAGUAUAUAAACUCAUUCAUUAAAACCAACGAGUUAUUACCUCAUUGAUGCCAAAUUUAGGGCAAAAGAAUCGGCUAUAAAAAUCAAAUCCAGACUCUGGAGGAGCAAGCCCUGAAACAAUUAUGCCUCUUCCAGGACAUUUUCGUAUUUGAUCAAACUGUGGCUCCACGUCUGUAACAAAUUUCGCCGAUGGGAGCACGACCUGCAUAUCGUAGCCAACUUCAUUCAGAACAACUACUAACACUAUAUCCAAAUGAGUAAAGGGUUAAAAGAAAUUACAAAGAUGUCUUCUGAGGUAGUUGUUAUCUUCAUAUCCAUGACUGAAGAAACACUCAAAGCCUUAUGAAUUAAUGAAACCUCAGAAAAAUUGAAAUCAGUAGUUGGAACUGUAGGAAAAUCCAAUUCAAUAAAAUAGCACUCUUGUGCUUCGCCAUUCUGUGAAUUAGAGUCAUUCAUCGCCUUAACAUCUGGAUCUUUUUUGGCUGUUAGAAUUCCAGACAGUGUGGCAAAUUCAAUUAUGUUGGAGUUUACCAAACCUCUCGAAAAGAGAGUGUGUGCAGCUGCUAAUGUUGCAUGACCACAAAGUUCAACCUGCAAAAAACUUAUCCUGAAAUUAAAAUACACUCUCCUUUGCGUUGGAGUCAGUGUCAUAUAUAUAAAAAACUAUAACAUGAACACAUGCAAAUCUAUGAAGCCUAAUGAUCAGAAAUAAUAUCAUUCAAGAUAAAAAUUUAGCUAUAAUCUUCCUUCAGAACUAAAAGAAGCAUAGCACAUAAAUAAGAGUAAACAUUCCACAAUGAUGGAAUGAUGAAAAAACUAAAACCCCAUGAAAUAAGAUAAAUCAUCAAGCUCCAGAACUGAGCCAAAUAGCUUCAUCCACAACUUAUAAUUAUAAAAACUGAAACUGACCUCAGCAACAGGAGUGAACCAUCUAAGACGGAACCUCGGAUUAGGAGAUUCAGCAGCAGUAAGGCGAGUCAAGUAACCGGUCUGAGAGGUAUUGAACUCAGAAGCCACAGCUUGUAGCCAUUCUUCAUCUCUAUCUUCCUCUAACAAACAAACCGCUGCUGGGUUCCCCUUGAAAGCUGAGUCGGUAAAAGCAUCCACCUGUCAAAGCAACAAAAAGAACCCAGUCCCAUUCAACCACAACGGAACAUCAAUCUAUAAAUACAAAAGAGGAGAUUACUAUUAGUUACCACAGAAUAUUGUACGAGCUUCUUGGCCAUGUUGCAGAAUAAAGAAUGAAGUUUAGAGUUUGACACGUGAAACUUGGAGUUGCAAAAGGUGAAGAGCUGAAACCCGAAACUGAGAUGAAAGAAAUGGUCAACACCUAACAGCCGCCAACCUACUGUCUUUUUCUUUAUAUUUUUUUUCCUUUUUUUCCACGGUUCUUCCCCUCUCGGACGCUUGCCACAUUCGAUUGGACUGUGCAUGAUACAAUAAGAUUUGUUUUUCUUAUAAUUAUCUUGUAUUCUGCCUACUACAACCAACUGAUUAACUUAAUUUAUAAGAAAAGAAAUUUCUUAAAUUACAUUUAUUGUAAAGAGCAGAAUCAAGUGAGGCAACGGAUAAAUUUUAUUUGACAGUGAAUUAUAUUAAAUAUAAUUUAGAGAGAUUCAUAAGAAAAUGAGCCCCAAUAUGAUUAACGAACUUGCACAAAUUAUAUGGAUUCUUUUCUCUGAAAAAUGUCUUUGUUCUGAAAAACAUCAGAUCAAAAGAAACCAUAGCGAAAAUACACGAACAAAAACACCUCAAAUAUCUUCAGCAGAACAAGUAGUGAUCAACAAAAUACAGUCCAAUGAAAUUGGCUUACUGUUUAUUGUAUUACAAUGAAGUGAUUUUAUCAUAUAACAUUGGAUAUCAGAUACCACCAAAUUGGAUGGUACAAAUGUAAAUUUUAUCUUAAAGAUGUCUUGUACAAGGUAUCGAAACAUGAUCAAGAAACACUCCAGGGAAUCAUUAUUUGCACGUAAUGAUUGACAUUUAUUGGAGUUGAUCACACACGCAUAAUGGAAAUCACUUGAAAUCUAAACUAACAGAGAGCCUUCCAUCACAGUAAUAGCUUUUCCUCGCAGCUGCACUCUCUGAUUCUGCUUGUCUACAUGAAUGUUCAAGAUCCCACUUCUUGGUGAUGCCUGAGUCAGGUAAAAUGUAAUCAACAUAUAACAAUUAGAAGGAAUAUGAAUAGACAUAAAUUAGAGAGAAAUGGGUGCAAAGAGAGUACCGCAUAAGCCACAAAAUCACACUUUCCAAGCUUUUGACUCCAAUAGGUUGCCAAAGCACAAUGUGCACUCCCACAAACGGGAUCCUGAUAUAAACAAGUCAUGUACAUAUAAGACUGUUAUUAGAACUGUUUCAAUAUUGACAGAGUUUUUGAAAAUUAUUUCCAUCUUACUUAUUGGAUCCUAAACUACAGUACCAUACAUUAAAGAAAGUUCUUUGUUCUCUUACAUAGACACAUUACUUCAAAUGCCAAAAAUCCUUCUUGAAAUCAAAACAGAGCAAUCUACACUAGACUUUAGAGGCAAUAUAUGUUUCGAAGUUAGCAAAUGGGUGAAAAGCUAGUAGGAAAGGAGCAAUAAUUUUGUUCACUUUCAGCUGUAACAUUUCACUCAAUUUGCAGGCCUUAUUACUCAUCAGAUUUUCUAAAACAGAAACGAUAUUCAAUGCACAUCUCCAUGUAGCAUGAGUUAUGACAAAUGUACAUGCUCAUAAUACAGUAGUAUAUAAACUCAUUCAUUAAAACCAACGAGUUAUUACCUCAUUGAUGCCAAAUUUAGGGCAGAAGAAUCGGCUAUAAAAAUCAAAUCCAGACUCUGGAGGAGCAAGCCCUGAAACAAUUAUGCCGCUUCCAGGACAUUUUCGUAUUUGAUCAAACUGUGGCUCCACGUCUGUAACAGAUUUCGCCGAUGGGAGCACGACCUGCAUAUUGUAGCCAACUUCAUUCAGAACAACUACUAACACUAUAUCCAAAUGAGUAAAGGGUUAAAAGAAAUUACAAAGAUAUCUUCUGAGGUAGUUGUUAUCUUCAUAUCCAUGACUGAAGAAACACUCAAAGCCUUAUGAAUUAAUGAAACCUCAGAAAAAUUGAAAUCAGUAGUUGGAACUGUAGGAAAAUCCAAUUCAAUAAAAUAGCACUCUCGUGCUUCGCCUUUCUGUGAAUUAGAGUCAUUCAUCGCCUUAACAUCUGGAACUUUUUUGGCUGUUAGAAUUCCAGACAGUGUGGCAAAUUCAAUUAUGUUGGAGUUUACCAAACCUCUCGAAAAAAGAGUGUGUGCAGCUGCUAAUGUUGCAUGACCACAAAGUUCAACCUGCAAAAAACUUAUCCUGAAAUUAAAAUACACUCUCCUUUGUGUUGGAGUAAGUGUCAUAUACAUAAAAAACUAUAACAUGAACACAUGAAAAUCUAUGAAGCUUAAUGAUCAGAAAUAAUAUCAUUCAAGAUAAAAAUUUAGCUAUAAUCUUCCUUCAGAACUAAAAGAAGCAUAGCACAUAAAUAAGAGUAAACAUUCCACAAUGAUGGAAUGAUGAAAAAACUAAAACCCCAUGAAAUAAGAUAAAUCAUCAAGCUCCAGAACUGAGCCAAAUAGCUUCAUCCACAACUUAUAAUUAUAAAAACUGAAACUGACCUCAGCAACAGGAGUGAACCAUCUAAGACGGAACCUCGGAUUAGGAGAUUCAGCAUCAGUAAGGCGAGUCAAGUAACAGGUCUCGGAGAUAUUGAACUCAGAAGCCACAGCUUGUAGCCAUUCUUCAUCUCUAUCUUCCUCUAACAAACAAACCGCUGCUGGGUUCCCCUUGAAAGCUGAGUCGGUAAAAGCAUCCACCUGUCAAAGCAACAAAAAGAACCCAGUCCCAUUCAACCACAACGGAACAUCAAUCUAUAAAUACAAAAGAGGAGAUUACUAUUAGUUACCACAGAAUAUUGUACGAGCUUCUUGGCCAUGUUGCAGAAUAAAGAAUGAAGUUUAGAGUUUGACACGUGAAACUUGGAGUUGCAAAAGGUGAAGAGCUGAAACCCGAAACUGAGAUGAAAGAAAUGGUCAACACCUAACAGCCGCCAACCUACUGUCUUUUUCUUUAUAUUUUUUUUCCUUUUUUUCCACGGUUCUUCCCCUCUCGGACGCUUGCCACAUUCGAUUGGACUGUGCAUGAUACAAUAAGAUUUGUUUUUCUUAUAAUUAUCUUGUAUUCUGCCUACUACAACCAACUGAUUAACUUAAUUUAUAAGAAAAGAAAUUUCUUAAAUUACAUUUAUUGUAAAGAGCAGAAUCAAGUGAGGCAACGGAUAAAUUUUAUUUGACAGUGAAUUAUAUUAAAUAUAAUUUAGAGAGAUUCAUAAGAAAAUGAGCCCCAAUAUGAUUAACGAACUUGCACAAAUUAUAUGGAUUCUUUUCUCUGAAAAAUGUCUUUGUUCUGAAAAACAUCAGAUCAAAAGAAACCAUAGCGAAAAUACACGAACAAAAACACCUCAAAUAUCUUCAGCAGAACAAGUAGUGAUCAACAAAAUACAGUCCAAUGAAAUUGGCUUACUGUUUAUUGUAUUACAAUGAAGUGAUUUUAUCAUAUAACAUUGGAUAUCAGAUACCACCAAAUUGGAUGGUACAAAUGUAAAUUUUAUCUUAAAGAUGUCUUGUACAAGGUAUCGAAACAUGAUCAAGAAACACUCCAGGGAAUCAUUAUUUGCACGUAAUGAUUGACAUUUAUUGGAGUUGAUCACACACGCAUAAUGGAAAUCACUUGAAAUCUAAACUAACAGAGAGCCUUCCAUCACAGUAAUAGCUUUUCCUCGCAGCUGCACUCUCUGAUUCUGCUUGUCUACAUGAAUGUUCAAGAUCCCACUUCUUGGUGAUGCCUGAGUCAGGUAAAAUGUAAUCAACAUAUAACAAUUAGAAGGAAUAUGAAUAGACAUAAAUUAGAGAGAAAUGGGUGCAAAGAGAGUACCGCAUAAGCCACAAAAUCACACUUUCCAAGCUUUUGACUCCAAUAGGUUGCCAAAGCACAAUGUGCACUCCCACAAACGGGAUCCUGAUAUAAACAAGUCAUGUACAUAUAAGACUGUUAUUAGAACUGUUUCAAUAUUGACAGAGUUUUUGAAAAUUAUUUCCAUCUUACUUAUUGGAUCCUAAACUACAGUACCAUACAUUAAAGAAAGUUCUUUGUUCUCUUACAUAGACACAUUACUUCAAAUGCCAAAAAUCCUUCUUGAAAUCAAAACAGAGCAAUCUACACUAGACUUUAGAGGCAAUAUAUGUUUCGAAGUUAGCAAAUGGGUGAAAAGCUAGUAGGAAAGGAGCAAUAAUUUUGUUCACUUUCAGCUGUAACAUUUCACUCAAUUUGCAGGCCUUAUUACUCAUCAGAUUUUCUAAAACAGAAACGAUAUUCAAUGCACAUCUCCAUGUAGCAUGAGUUAUGACAAAUGUACAUGCUCAUAAUACAGUAGUAUAUAAACUCAUUCAUUAAAACCAACGAGUUAUUACCUCAUUGAUGCCAAAUUUAGGGCAGAAGAAUCGGCUAUAAAAAUCAAAUCCAGACUCUGGAGGAGCAAGCCCUGAAACAAUUAUGCCGCUUCCAGGACAUUUUCGUAUUUGAUCAAACUGUGGCUCCACGUCUGUAACAGAUUUCGCCGAUGGGAGCACGACCUGCAUAUUGUAGCCAACUUCAUUCAGAACAACUACUAACACUAUAUCCAAAUGAGUAAAGGGUUAAAAGAAAUUACAAAGAUAUCUUCUGAGGUAGUUGUUAUCUUCAUAUCCAUGACUGAAGAAACACUCAAAGCCUUAUGAAUUAAUGAAACCUCAGAAAAAUUGAAAUCAGUAGUUGGAACUGUAGGAAAAUCCAAUUCAAUAAAAUAGCACUCUCGUGCUUCGCCUUUCUGUGAAUUAGAGUCAUUCAUCGCCUUAACAUCUGGAACUUUUUUGGCUGUUAGAAUUCCAGACAGUGUGGCAAAUUCAAUUAUGUUGGAGUUUACCAAACCUCUCGAAAAAAGAGUGUGUGCAGCUGCUAAUGUUGCAUGACCACAAAGUUCAACCUGCAAAAAACUUAUCCUGAAAUUAAAAUACACUCUCCUUUGUGUUGGAGUAAGUGUCAUAUACAUAAAAAACUAUAACAUGAACACAUGAAAAUCUAUGAAGCUUAAUGAUCAGAAAUAAUAUCAUUCAAGAUAAAAAUUUAGCUAUAAUCUUCCUUCAGAACUAAAAGAAGCAUAGCACAUAAAUAAGAGUAAACAUUCCACAAUGAUGGAAUGAUGAAAAAACUAAAACCCCAUGAAAUAAGAUAAAUCAUCAAGCUCCAGAACUGAGCCAAAUAGCUUCAUCCACAACUUAUAAUUAUAAAAACUGAAACUGACCUCAGCAACAGGAGUGAACCAUCUAAGACGGAACCUCGGAUUAGGAGAUUCAGCAUCAGUAAGGCGAGUCAAGUAACAGGUCUCGGAGAUAUUGAACUCAGAAGCCACAGCUUGUAGCCAUUCUUCAUCUCUAUCUUCCUCUAACAAACAAACCGCUGCUGGGUUCCCCUUGAAAGCUGAGUCGGUAAAAGCAUCCACCUGUCAAAGCAACAAAAAGAACCCAGUCCCAUUCAACCACAACGGAACAUCAAUCUAUAAAUACAAAAGAGGAGAUUACUAUUAGUUACCACAGAAUAUUGUACGAGCUUCUUGGCCAUGUUGCAGAAUAAAGAAUGAAGUUUAGAGUUUGACACGUGAAACUUGGAGUUGCAAAAGGUGAAGAGCUGAAACCCGAAACUGAGAUGAAAGAAAUGGUCAACACCUAACAGCCGCCAACCUACUGUCUUUUUCUUUAUAUUUUUUUUCCUUUUUUUCCACGGUUCUUCCCCUCUCGGACGCUUGCCACAUUCGAUUGGACUGUGCAUGAUACAAUAAGAUUUGUUUUUCUUAUAAUUAUCUUGUAUUCUGCCUACUACAACCAACUGAUUAACUUAAUUUAUAAGAAAAGAAAUUUCUUAAAUUACAUUUAUUGUAAAGAGCAGAAUCAAGUGAGGCAACGGAUAAAUUUUAUUUGACAGUGAAUUAUAUUAAAUAUAAUUUAGAGAGAUUCAUAAGAAAAUGAGCCCCAAUAUGAUUAACGAACUUGCACAAAUUAUAUGGAUUCUUUUCUCUGAAAAAUGUCUUUGUUCUGAAAAACAUCAGAUCAAAAGAAACCAUAGCGAAAAUACACGAACAAAAACACCUCAAAUAUCUUCAGCAGAACAAGUAGUGAUCAACAAAAUACAGUCCAAUGAAAUUGGCUUACUGUUUAUUGUAUUACAAUGAAGUGAUUUUAUCAUAUAACAUUGGAUAUCAGAUACCACCAAAUUGGAUGGUACAAAUGUAAAUUUUAUCUUAAAGAUGUCUUGUACAAGGUAUCGAAACAUGAUCAAGAAACACUCCAGGGAAUCAUUAUUUGCACGUAAUGAUUGACAUUUAUUGGAGUUGAUCACACACGCAUAAUGGAAAUCACUUGAAAUCUAAACUAACAGAGAGCCUUCCAUCACAGUAAUAGCUUUUCCUCGCAGCUGCACUCUCUGAUUCUGCUUGUCUACAUGAAUGUUCAAGAUCCCACUUCUUGGUGAUGCCUGAGUCAGGUAAAAUGUAAUCAACAUAUAACAAUUAGAAGGAAUAUGAAUAGACAUAAAUUAGAGAGAAAUGGGUGCAAAGAGAGUACCGCAUAAGCCACAAAAUCACACUUUCCAAGCUUUUGACUCCAAUAGGUUGCCAAAGCACAAUGUGCACUCCCACAAACGGGAUCCUGAUAUAAACAAGUCAUGUACAUAUAAGACUGUUAUUAGAACUGUUUCAAUAUUGACAGAGUUUUUGAAAAUUAUUUCCAUCUUACUUAUUGGAUCCUAAACUACAGUACCAUACAUUAAAGAAAGUUCUUUGUUCUCUUACAUAGACACAUUACUUCAAAUGCCAAAAAUCCUUCUUGAAAUCAAAACAGAGCAAUCUACACUAGACUUUAGAGGCAAUAUAUGUUUCGAAGUUAGCAAAUGGGUGAAAAGCUAGUAGGAAAGGAGCAAUAAUUUUGUUCACUUUCAGCUGUAACAUUUCACUCAAUUUGCAGGCCUUAUUACUCAUCAGAUUUUCUAAAACAGAAACGAUAUUCAAUGCACAUCUCCAUGUAGCAUGAGUUAUGACAAAUGUACAUGCUCAUAAUACAGUAGUAUAUAAACUCAUUCAUUAAAACCAACGAGUUAUUACCUCAUUGAUGCCAAAUUUAGGGCAGAAGAAUCGGCUAUAAAAAUCAAAUCCAGACUCUGGAGGAGCAAGCCCUGAAACAAUUAUGCCGCUUCCAGGACAUUUUCGUAUUUGAUCAAACUGUGGCUCCACGUCUGUAACAGAUUUCGCCGAUGGGAGCACGACCUGCAUAUUGUAGCCAACUUCAUUCAGAACAACUACUAACACUAUAUCCAAAUGAGUAAAGGGUUAAAAGAAAUUACAAAGAUAUCUUCUGAGGUAGUUGUUAUCUUCAUAUCCAUGACUGAAGAAACACUCAAAGCCUUAUGAAUUAAUGAAACCUCAGAAAAAUUGAAAUCAGUAGUUGGAACUGUAGGAAAAUCCAAUUCAAUAAAAUAGCACUCUCGUGCUUCGCCUUUCUGUGAAUUAGAGUCAUUCAUCGCCUUAACAUCUGGAACUUUUUUGGCUGUUAGAAUUCCAGACAGUGUGGCAAAUUCAAUUAUGUUGGAGUUUACCAAACCUCUCGAAAAAAGAGUGUGUGCAGCUGCUAAUGUUGCAUGACCACAAAGUUCAACCUGCAAAAAACUUAUCCUGAAAUUAAAAUACACUCUCCUUUGUGUUGGAGUAAGUGUCAUAUACAUAAAAAACUAUAACAUGAACACAUGAAAAUCUAUGAAGCUUAAUGAUCAGAAAUAAUAUCAUUCAAGAUAAAAAUUUAGCUAUAAUCUUCCUUCAGAACUAAAAGAAGCAUAGCACAUAAAUAAGAGUAAACAUUCCACAAUGAUGGAAUGAUGAAAAAACUAAAACCCCAUGAAAUAAGAUAAAUCAUCAAGCUCCAGAACUGAGCCAAAUAGCUUCAUCCACAACUUAUAAUUAUAAAAACUGAAACUGACCUCAGCAACAGGAGUGAACCAUCUAAGACGGAACCUCGGAUUAGGAGAUUCAGCAUCAGUAAGGCGAGUCAAGUAACAGGUCUCGGAGAUAUUGAACUCAGAAGCCACAGCUUGUAGCCAUUCUUCAUCUCUAUCUUCCUCUAACAAACAAACCGCUGCCGGGUUCCCCUUGAAAGCCGAGUCGGUAAAAGCAUCCACCUGUCAAAGCAACAAAAAGAACCCAGUCCCAUUCAACCACAACGGAACAUCAAUCUAUAUACAAAAGAGGAGAUUACUAUUAGUUACCACAUAGUAUUGUACGAGCUUCUUGGCCAUGUUGCAGAAUAAAGAGUGAAGUUUAGAGUUUGACACGUGAAACUUGGAGUUGCAGAGAUGAAACCCGAAACUGAGAUGAAAGAAAUGGUCAACCUAACAGCCGCCAACCUACUGUCUUUUUCUUUACAUUUUUUCCUUUCUUUCCACGCUUCUUCCCCGUUUCGUUAAUCACGGACGCUUGGCACGUUCGAUUGGACUGUGCAUGACACAAUAAGAUUUGUUUUUCUUAUAAUUAUCUUGUAUUCUGCCUACUACAACCAAUUGAUUAACUUAAUUUACAAGAAAAGAAUUUUCUUAAAUAGUAGAAUCAAGUGAGGCAAUGAAUAAAUUUUAUUUGACUGUGAAUUAUAUUAAAUAUAAUUUAGAGAGACUCAUAAGGAAAUUAAAUAUACUAAUAUCAAUUUAUUAAUUAUUAAAUAAUUUUUAUUUAAUAAUAACAUUGAUAAAUAAAAUUUUUUAUUUAAAUUUUAUGUAUGCCAUUUCAUUUAUAAAUUCAUUGAAUAGAUGACUUGUCAAUAAAUUUUUUACUGUAGAAUAAAAAAUUGUACAAUUUAUCAUAUAUAAAUUCAUGAUAUAGAAAGUAUAAUUUCUGAACUUGUUAUGCGCGUAGAUAAAACUUCGUUACAAGGUAUCGAACAAUUAUCAAAUCAUUGUAUGACAUAUCGUUUCUAAGUACAUCACAUAGAUGACAUGUUCGAAAAGUUUACGGAACGCAUUUAAUAUGACACGAAUAACUUUAACACAUAGAUAAACAUCUCAUUAAUAACUGAUUCAACACCUGUAGGACAUGUUCAAAACUUCAAGGACCACAAAACCUAACCCACCUUGCAGGAAGCUGAAAUGCCACCAACGAAGCAAAUUAUUCAAAUAAACCCCUUCAAAUUCUAUGAAAAAGCCAAUCACCUGAACAAUUAUUUAGCCGUCAAUCCAGCAUAAAUUCAUCUGAAUAUAAGGGAAGAAAUGGCAUAACGUAUAUUAAUCCCUCAAAUAUAACAUAUUCUAAUUGAAGUCAAGCUAAGAAGUAACUUGACAAAUCCUAACUUAUACGGGUUUUUGGACGGGUAGACUAUAGACACCCCUGUUUUACAAAGCUGAUGAUCAAUAAACAAAUAUAAUUGAAAGUUGAAACACAGAAUUACAUUUCACUUCAUCCAAGGUUACAUGAAGUUGGUACAUGACAUAAUGUACAAUCUUAUUUAUGUACAACAAUGGGGAGCCCCAGCACCCAGGCACAUUACCAAAUCCCUUCCUUGGACAGUCUUAGAAACUGCGAAAGGGUAAUGCGGGGGAUCUCGGCUGAACCUUUUUCCUUCUUCUUAAUCCUUGUCAUUUUCAAAGAUUCCUCAUCCUUUGAUUCUGUAACUGUUACUGAGACCAAAUUAUAGAACUGUUCAAAAACAGAUUUUAUUACGGAUUAGAUGGUCUGCCUUAAUCUUCAGUAAACAAUCAAUCAACAAAUGCUCAUCGACCAUUAAUUUUACUAUUAUCUAAGAGAUCUCUAACAUCAUCAUCUGAUUACAUGGCUUUCAGUCCGGUAUGAAAUGUGGCCUCCAAAUGAAACAACUUAUGAGACAAGUUACCUCACAGACACCAUGCAGCAACAACCUAUGAAAUGAAUCUUGAACUCGUAGCACAAGCUCAUCUGCAUCUUUGCUCUCCUCAAUGAAGGCUCGUAUGCAAACCUGUGAUUAAAAGGAUUUUAACUCCUAAUAACAAUAAAAUCUGUUACCAAGCCAUGCAUUAAAAAGACAAAUACCAAGCAGAUAUACCAGCUGGUUGACACAUAAUUAAUACAGAAUAAAGAUGAGACUUUAAUAUUUUAAAUCCUUCAUAAAACCAAAUGGAUACUCUUACCAACGUAUUUGUUGGAUUAUAAAAAGUUAAUGCCAAACAGAUAUUAUGAUCCUUGCUACAGAGAACAUAAAAUGAAUUGCAAUUAACAGAGUAAAGAAUAAAAGGAUGAAUAUAAAUAUGUACCUCGAAGCCCUCAAUAAGUUCUGGAAGAUAGCUACGGCGAAAUGCAUCUCUUGUUCGACAAUCGAUUCUGCGCCAUGCAUUCAAGACAGCUAUCUUAUCAGUGUCAACAUGACAUUUCCUCUUCAGGGUCGAACCAUUUAAGGCUUUAAUGAUAUUAGCCUGCCACAAACAAAAAAUGAUUGCAGUUGGAGCAUUUUGGCACAUUACAUGUCAAAUUAGCACAAAGCAUUGUAUUGGAGUCUGCAUCCACACAAAUCUCACAAAACUGCAGGUUAUUCAGGCAUAUACUUUCUUGACAGCAGAAGAAAUUUGAAAGAUCAAAACUAGUUUUGGUGAUUAAGAGAAGUAAAAAGACCUCUUUAUCCAUGUCUAUAUUCCUGAAUUUGUCCCACUCUCCAUAGUUAGUCAUACAAAAUGGUGAUGGCGGCACUUUGUCACCUGCAAAAUGAACUCAAAAUCAAUGCUAAAAUAACUGAUUUUGCAAAUUACUGCCACAAAGGUGCAAGUGACUUCAGAGAUGCCAAAAAUAAAAGUUGUGCUCCUGUUGUUCCCCAACAGAAAGAACGAAGAGUGUACUUAAAUUUGCUGAGUAGUAUCAAAGUUAGUACACACACAAACAUACAAUGACUAUAUCCAAAUAAACUUAACUGUAUUAUGAUAUAAGAAUUUAAGCAAAUUUCCGUAUUGAUAAGAAAAUAAGAACCAAUCCGAACUCCACUACUGCAACACACACGGCUCACCUCAAAUACCCACAGAUAACUUGACACAAGAAAGACAACCUUAGUGUAAAUGUAAAGAAUUGCAGAAACAGGAUAGUAUUCAAUUCUCUUGCAUUCGCUUGUCAGCAAAUUUCAUAUCGGAACAACUUAACCAAAGUGGUAUGCCAAGUAAGUGCCCUAGGGCAACUUGAGAAGGCAGCAUGCUUGAAUGAGCCAAAAGCACACACAGACACAUACUGAUAAAGAUAGCAGUUAUUUGAGCAUUAUAAAUAGGAAAAUCAAGGCAGAAAAUUACCCCAAGGUGGUGGAGCAAACAAGCCUCUAAUUUCAUCGGCAUCUAACCGUGGAACAAGUUCCAUCAACAAACGAUCAUUUAACCACCUUCGAGACCGUCGAUUGCUAACCUGCAACAAAAUAAAAUGAGUCCCAAUAUGAUUAAUGAACUUGCACAAAUUUAAUGGAUUCUUUAUUCCGAAAAACAUCAAAUGAAAAUGAACCAUAUCGAACAUAAGUGAACAAAGACACCUCAAGUAUCUUCAGCAAAACAACUUUUAUCAGUAGUGAUCAACCAAAUACAAUCCAUCAGUGGGGACCCAAGUUAAGGUCACAUAGAUUGCACCAAUCAUAUGUAUAUGCAACGGGAAAACACAGUAUUUGAACAGUGUCACUUAAGAAGAAUCAAGUAUAAGAAAUUUGAGCUGUCGUCACACAACUGGACAAUUUGAUUCAAAAUGUAGAUCAAACUUAUAGUGGCUAUGUAAUCUUCUCAAAUUUACAUUACAGUAAUCAUUUGUAGGUUAGGAAAGAGAAUUACAUUUCCGGUUAAGCUCUCUAGAAAUUCGAUUUUCUUUUCGAUCGACAUUCCACGUGACUUCGCACCCUCUCCUGCUAAAAAAUAACACAAAAGAAUUAAAAAAAUUUCUCACGCAUACACGCGAGUGCAGAAUAUGUCUAGAAAUACGAUCUGGGUAUUGCAAAAUAAUGCCAUGAAAGAAAAAAAGGAAAAAGAAAAAAAAAGAACCUUUGCUGGGAUCAAGGAGAGGAGGCGAAAGAAGGAAGUCUUGCUCUCUCUCCAUAAUGUCCGGAGUCGCCAUAAUUGAUUGAUUUGGUUGAUUCAAUUGAUGAACGGAUAGAUCUGGGCUCUGCUUUAUCUCUUUGAUUGAGAAGUUUUGAGGAACUAAGACGAGAGUGAUUACGAUAAUUGAGAAGGCCGAAUGUUUUUUUUUUUUUUUUACCUUUCUUUUAUCUUUUCUGGCUGCGGUGGUACUGCUUAAAUGAAAACAGAGCGGAACGCAAAAACACAGAGAGAGAGGAAUAUGCGAGUUCGUGUUUGCGAUGCGGUUUGACUGUUACUUGCGACUUGUCCGCAGCCAAAUCUACCAGCCCUAUCUAUCUGCUCUCUAAUUUCCCUUCCUCGUAUUAAAACGUGCUGCUAAAGGUUGUACCUCUCUGUGCCGAACGUGGUUUUGACUUUUAGUUGAAAGACGAGGUUGUCUUGUCCCAAGGUGCAAUCCCCUCGUAGCUGAAAAUUUUGGAGCUUUGAAUUUGAUCAUCAGGGGACACGUAUGAAGAACGUGCACGAUUUAGGCAGCUGUACAUGUUUGUCAAACUCCAGUUGUAGACUUAUAGGGCUCCUCCUCCAUUCUGUUUUCUACUGUUAAAGGCAACGGCAGAUUGAAACUUAUUUGCCCGAGGCGUGCAAUCGGGAUGACGUUGGGUUCUUGUAGCAUUAUUACCUUUUCUUUUGUCUGCUUUGAAUUUUAAUCGGCCCAUCAAUAUGGCAUUACACGAUCCAGAUUCACGAUUAAUCCAAGAGUGAGACUAUUGGCACCCCUCUAAAUAUCUCUCAACACCUCUUUUCUUUAUUAACCCCAUUAAAAUAUUUAAAAAUAUUAUAAAAUUCUUUUAACACCCUUUUAAUGACAAAAAUACCCUUAGUUUAAAUUUAUUAAUAUAAACCCUGUUUUAAUUUUUGACCCCUGAUUGUGAUUUUUUUUUUUAAAGCACCUGAUUCUGAAUUUUGAAACAAUUAAUUAUCUAUUGAAAAAGAAAGAAAGAAAAGGAAAACAAAAGGAAAAGGGCACUUGCUCCAAGAAAGUUCUACUUUAAUGUGGCAAAUCAUUGAAACACCACAUGGCCAAAACUUUACUCUAUGCAUGACAACUCAUUGUAAUUGAUAAUGACCCUCGCAAACACUUGGCUACCAUGCGUGUAAUUCCUUGCCAAGUGCUAAUUUGGUUUACUGAUGAAGAUGCUGAGCACAAGCUUCUGAAAAUGCAGAAUCACGAAUUCUUCGAAAGACUGCGAACCUUUGUGGAGAAAGACAACUGGGGCACUGGAAAACAUGUCGGUGGGAAAAUAAUUCUGAUGAUCGUUCAGCUCGUCCAUUGCUUCAUAAUUACUUUCUUCUUUCUUAAUUUCUCUCAUGGGUCUUGAUUUCUUCCUAAAUCUUGUUGAUGAUGAGUGGCAUAUGUCGAUAAUUCCUCACCAGAAAAUAAGAUAAAAAGGUAACUUUCUUAAUUUUUAAAAUACUGAAUUUCAAUUUCAGGUACUAUUUAUUUUGUCUCUUUUAAGUUAUUUUUCAUUUUUCUGUUGAUAUUUUAAUAUUUACAGUCAAUUGUAGCAUUACUUAAAUUUAUAGUAUGUAGAUCAUAAUUCAUAAAUUAUUUUGCAGUUGGAGUAAACUCGAAAAUGUUAAAAAAAAAUAAUAACAACAAAAAGAGUAGAGACAGGUUGUCAUCUUGAGUAACAAUAAAAUAAAGAAUUCCAGCUUUUACAAAGUCUUUCUUUAAAAAUAUGAAACGAAUAAAAUGACUAUUAAAAUGGUUCAAAAUUUUCUAAUACUGUCAUUGACUAGCUAGAUCAAUUGUUUCUUGUGUGGUAACUUCAAACACCAAAUCCUUGAAAGCAAGUAUAUUAGUUUUGUAUGGUGUUGCCCAGCCUUCUACACAUGGUUCAUGAUAUUUGAUCCAACUAUUCGCAAUAGGAGGAAUAGGUGAAGCUGGAAGCAUGAACACCUGUAAAAAAAAAAAAAAAGCCAUAGAAAAAUUAGUCUAAUAAUUAAGAUAUUGUAGCAUAAUUUGAAUUUCUAAACUUUUACAUACCUCGAUGAAAUGAUUUCUAUUAACAAAUCCAAUAGCAAUGAUUUUAUGCGAGGAGCGUGAUAAUGGAAUAGAUCUAAGUGGAAGGAAUGUUAGAUUCAGCACAUCUGAUAUAUGUAGUAAUACCACAUUAUAUUUAGAAGCAAUAAUAUGACCAAUUUCAGGCAUGGUCAUCCAAUACUCUCUCCCUGGGUUAUUCUCAAAGUAUAAAAGUGAAUGAAGUAACUCCUCUGCUCUACCAGCAUAUUCAAAGACUCUUUUAUAAUCAUUAAAGUGACUUUGCAACUCAACAACUAAGUCUUUCCUGACUUGUGCUCAGUUAUCUUCACCAAUACCUAUUAGGCCAGCCACUGCCCGAAAACCACAAUUACCAUCUGCAGCAACAUCUCUAACACCACAAAUAUAAGGCCUCAAACCAAAUGGAAAGGAAUCAAUAUAAGAAGCAUGCUUUGGUGCUUUUGUUUGAGAAACACUCAUUUUUCGUUGCCCUUUUGGUUUUUUUUGUAGUUGUACUUGAAGACAUAAUGUCUGGAGAAUGAUUAUCCUGUGCGGAUACUACAUACUCAAAUCUUGAUGGAUCUCGGCGGGUAGAUUUAUCAAGCUUUUGGGAGGGUCGUCCUCGAGUCUUAGCUUUAACAGUUGGCUCAAUUAAAAAAGUUGAGGAUGGAUCAGCUAAUUCUUUCAGUUUUCUUUUUAUUUUCAUUUUUCCGAAACCAUCUGAAUCUUCAAAACCCUUGAUAAUCAUUUCCAUUUCAGGGGUACAACUCAACUCUGCUGAUUUUUCAUAGCUGGUGCAGACAAGGUCUAAUUUCCUCCAAUGCAAAUGUACAGAAUCUAAAUGUAUUGGUCGACCUUCACGCUUAUACUCUGCAAUUUCAUGUGCACACGGUAUCCCAUGAGUGUGUCGAACUACACAACCACAUGCUGAAAUAUCUAUACCAAUUAAAUCAGCUCUUUUUGACUCACUUAGUAUCAUAUCUAAUGCAUUUCUAGCAACUAAUCCCCUUAAUUCUUUAAAAACUGAAGGUGUGAAACUAUGUUGCACAGUAGUCAAACUCUUCUCAAAUGAUGCCUUAAUUUCUGUAUGUUGCAACUCUACUAAAGAAUGAAGUUUUGUCCAUAAUGUUACAAAGUUUCCUUGGGAUGAACAUAGUUGCCUUUUUUAUUUUGAAUGUGCAGUCUCAACCCUAAAAAUAAACCAACAAAAAAAAAAAUAAUAAAAAGAUAUAUAAAAAAAUGGUGUUGAGUUUAGUUAUAAAAUCAUUGAAAACUAAAUAUUGGUUACUUGUUGGUUGUCAUAUUUCCGAAAUGCAUAAUAAAGUCUGUCCAUGCUGCAAUAAAUUUUUCUUUAUACUUAUCAAGCCAUGUUUGCUUCACAUAGACAAGUGCUUUCGGAUAUCUAGCAUAAUCACUCUAAAAAAUACUCAAGUGUUGUAUGUACUCUUGUUCAGUGGCUGAGAACACCAGUACAUUCCAGCUGCUGUUAAAGGCUUCCCAUCUUUCAUUAGUCUCAAAUAGCCUCUUACAAUUAGCUAACACAUUUCUUGAAAUAUGCCAUCUACAAAGUAAAUUAGUUGCACUUGGAAAUAUCUUUUCAAUGGCAUUCAUCAGAGCUAAUUCCCUGUCUGUCACAAUCACAGUUGGUAACAUAUCAUCUUGCAUAAUGGUUUUCAAUCUUUCUAAUGCCCAAAUAUAGUUAUCUUCUCGUUCGGACUCAAGAUAUGCAAAACCAACAUUAAAUGUCAUUGCAGUCGAUGUGACACCAACUAUUUCCAACAACGGAAACUUAUACUUAUUGACUUUAUAAGUGCAGUCCAUUAUCAGAACACUUGGAAAAGCUUUUAACAAAUCAAAAGUAAGAGGAUGUGCCCAAAAUAUGUCUUUCAGACAAUUUGUAUCAUCAUCACUCCGAUGCCACUCAAUGUAAUUAUGAUCAUGCAAUUUACUCAUAAGCUGUUGCAUUUGUGACCGUCCGGCCAAUUCGCGAACCUUAUAUUUAUACCGAGCAUUAUAAACCGUCUUCAUUGUUGUAACAUUAAAUGUAUCCCUAGUCUUUAAAGUAUGUAAUAUCUCUUUUGGCCGAACAUUAUUUUUAGACAAAUCAACCAAUAUACUAACUGUUUGGGAGAAAUACGUCGACGAGACCAGGCAUGGUGAGCAGAUAUCUGAUGGCAGAGUUCUGCGAACCGGUGUGUUCCUUAAAAGCCUGGUGCGCGGGGGAACAGGAGCAGAAAUAUCCUGCUCGUCCACGAGCACGUCAUCCGCGAGGCCAAUUUCCUGUAAGAGGCAUAAGGCCAUUCCGGCUAGAGGUCGAGAGGCGAGGAGACCCGGUCGACGGCAGUUGGCAAGACAUGCUCUCCAGCCCGAGAAUCUAGGCACGACAGCCACGCUUUCCCCAGAACCACGGCGGAACACGCAAGAUCCCACGUUUGCCCAUAACGCAGCAUAACGCAGCAGUCGGAGUCCCAUACCGUCCCCCAAAAAGCGGAAACAAUAUCUCACAGAACCACGACAGCCACGCUUUCCCCAGAACCGUGGCGUAACACGCAAGAUCCCACGUUUGCCCAUAACGCAGCAGUCAGAGUCCCAUACCGUCUCGAAAAAAGCGGAAAACUGGGAUUCAGAGGAAGCCUAUAAAAAGGUAGCCAACGAAGGUAAAGGGGUUAGCAUUUUUGAGAUUAGAAAAGAAAUUCAAAAGAAGAGAAAACCACGAAAAAGCCAUAAGAUCUGUGGCAAGAGUUCCCCGAACCUUCAUAUCUGACUUGAGCGUCGGAGGGUUUGCGCCGGGAAAAUAACCGGCGUACUCUGACUUGUCUGUGUGCGCAAGAACCUCUGGAGAAGAAGUCUUGCGAGGAGACCUCCUGGUCGUGAUGAAGUUGAUCGAGCAGAGAUCCUGGUCGUAGAACGAGGAGAACCGGAAUCCCACAUCAACAUUUUGGCGCCGUCUGUGGGGAUGAGAGCAAAAAGCUUCUGUUGAUAGUAAGAAGAGGGGUGAAGCAAGUGAAAAGCAAUGGAGACAGGAGGAAGUAGUGCACAAGGGGGUGAUAGGAGGCUUAACGAUUCCGUGACGCUGAGGGAGAUAGUCAAUGAAGCACGGGAAAAAGUCAUGUUCGACCGGAUGGAACGGAUGGAAAAGCAGAUGGAGACCUUGACAACCAUCCUGCAUGAGCUGCGGAGCGAGCGAAGGGUAACCCAAGAGGGAAGGGUGAGAGGCGGUGGAGUGGCACCAGGUCCCGAUAGUGCGGGGAGAAGUUAAACCACCGGGAGAUUUGGUGGUGAGAGAGGUAACGUACAUCUGCGGGGAGAAUUUCAUAGAGAAAGAGGGCCGUCCCCGGCAAGACAGACUGGUGACGAGGACGACGGGGUGGUGAAUGCAGAGGAAACAGAGUUGAGGCAACACUUGCAUGAUGUAGAGCAAGAGUGGGAUCAAGUUGCAGCACGUGACCCUGGUCGUGCAGUGCAGCUGGAGGAGGAAGUGCGCAGACUAGCGCAGAUAAUUGACGACAUGCAAGGAAGGAACAGAGCCCCUGGUUGGAGGAUAAUGCUGGACGGAGAAUCAUCGCUCGCAGCAGAGAUCAUGAGGGCAGUUAUUCCGAGAGAUUUCCGCCUCCCAGACCUCAGAUACUCGGGAAGAACUGAUCCGCUGGUGCACAUAGAGCGCUUCAACGACAUAAUUGGGGUACAAGGAUUAUCUCAAUCCCAAAGGUGCAGGGUGUUCCCACUAUCCCUUGAGGGACGUGCACGAGAAUGGUACAGGAAACUUCCUCGGGGCAGCAUUAAAACCUUCGAGCAGAUGUGCCAGGAAUUCGCAGAGCAGUUUAGUGGGGCAAUGGCACCGGAAGAUGAAAUGAUGGAGCUGAAAAGCAUGAAACAUGGGGAGCAAGAAACCCUUCGGGAAUUCAUCAAGAGGUUUCAUCGGACUGUCCUCGACUUGGGAGCCUUCAACCACCCUCAGGCGUUAAGGGGAUUGAAAGAAGGGGUGAAGAUAGGAAGGCUGUGGUACAAUUUGAGAAGCCCAGCUAUUCAAACGUAUGCAGCCGCAUACGAACAGGCUAAGAGAGACAUCGAGAUUGAAGAGGAGAAUGCUGCACGGAUUAAGACAGACCAGUUAGAAGGGUUGGGGAGGAAAGAGAAGAAAGCAUUACCGGGGAAUGGGCCGAUCAGGAGGAGGGACCACCAGGCCUCCGGUAGUGGAGCAGGAGGUCGGGUAACUGCUUACCAGCCUCAUCAGAGGCCACCACAGUAUCAGCGCAGCAGGGCGCAACCUCCUCGUUCCCCAGCUAAGGAGCCUUGGAGAAGGCAUGAGUCGGCAUCUGGUGGUCUUCAUCAACAUCCCCACGGUAGCAGAACGAGCAGACUAGAAGUACUUCCACCGCCCCCAACUCAGAGCGGGGCAAACAGAGAAAGAGCAGUGCACCUGAUCGACCAGAACCCGGACUAUGGGCGGUACACUUCCUUGAAGAUGUCCCUGGAUGAGGUGUACGAGGCCAUAAAGGAUCGAGGGCUGCUGCACCUCCCUACACCAAUAACAAAGCUACCCAACAGAAGGGAUAGAAGACGUUAUUGUAAGUUUCAUGGCACCCAUGGCCAUACCACAGCAGAGUGUAGAGAUCUCAAGACCCAGGUCGAAGAUUUGGUGAGAAAUCGGUACCUGGACGAAUUUAUGGAUGAGACUUUCCCGAUGGUGGCCACAACAGGUGAAGGGGAGCAGAGUGGUAGAAACUUGAGACGCGAGCAGCCCGCAGUAAGGGUGAUAGCUGGGGGCCCAACAUUGGCCGGAGAUUCCAACAGAUCGAGAAAAAAUUAUGCUAGGUACGCCAUGACCAGUAAAGAGGUACUCUUCAACACCCCAGCAGCCAAACGAGCAAGGGUCAGGCAAGUGCCAAUCAUGUGGACGGAUGAGGAUGAGGAAGGGAUUCUAUACCCCCACGAGGAUGCUUUAGUCAUCAAGGCUACUGUCGCUAGCAAGAAGUUUGACCGGAUACUGAUUGAUACAGGGAGCUCAGUUGAUGUGUUAUUUAAGUCAACCCUGGAAGAGAUGGGAAUAGCCGACCGGAAGUUAGAAUACACCAAUACCUCCUUGAAGGGGUUCGGAGGAGGGAAGCUGGUCCCUCUGGGCGUGGUCGAGCUGCCUAUCACAAUUGGGAGCUCCCCGACAGAAAGAACAAUGAUACUAGGCUUUGUCGUAGUGGAUGAGGAAGGUCCUUACCAGAUGAUCCUAGGUCGGCCAUUUUUAAGGAUGAGCAAAGCGGUGUUGUCCAACCAUUAUCUGGCUCUGAAGUACCGGGUGAAUGGGGUAGUAGGAGUGGUACGAGGAGACCAGAGGAUCGCAAGAAGCUGCUACUCCUCGGCAGCAAGGGAAGCAAUGCAGAUAACAUCCCUCGAUACCCGAGUGGAAAACAAGAAGGGCAGACAAGAACCUGUGGAGGAUCUGGAAACAGUAAGCCUGGGACCAGAGAACCCGGGAAAGACGAUCAGAAUCGGGUCGAGACUUAAGGGAGAGCAAAAGCAGGAGUUGGUGAAAUGCUUAGAGGCUCAUGCUGAUGUGUUUGCUUGGACACAUGAAGACAUGCCAGGGAUUGACCCUGAGGUAGCAUGUCAUAAGCUGGCAAUAAAGAAAGGUGCUCGGGCAGUAAGGCAGAAGAGGAGAUGCUUCAACCAGCAGAGGUAUGAGGCUAUAAAUGACGAGGUGGAGAAGCUCUUGAGAGCAGGGUUCAUUCGGGAAGUCAGUUACCCUGAGUGGAUAUCGAAUGUGGUGUUGGUAAAGAAGGCAAACGGCAAGUGGAGGAUGUGUGUGGAUUUCACAGACCUCAAUAAGGCGUGCCCAAAAGACAGCUUCCCUUUACCAAAGAUCGAUCAGCUAGUAGAUUCAACGGCUGGACAUGGUCUGCUUAGCUUCAUGGACGCGUUCUCGGGAUACAACCAGAUCCCCAUGUACGAGCAGGGUGAGGAGAGCACGGCUUUCAUCACUAACCAAGGUUUGUUCUGUUACAGGGUAAUGCCAUUCGGUCUCAAAAAUGCUGGGGCCACCUAUCAAAGGCUGGUGAACAAAGUCUUUAAGCCGUUGAUUGGGAAAACCAUGGAGGUGUACGUGGAUGACAUGAUCACCAAGUCCAAAAUCCCGAAGGAACAUGUCAGACACCUCGAGGAGACAUUCGAGCUUUUGAGGAAGUAUAAGAUGAAGCUCAACCCGGAGAAGUGUGCUUUUGGGGUCGAGUCAGGGAAAUUCCUUGGAUUCAUGGUGAGCCAUAGGGAGAUUGAAGCAAAUCCCGAGAAAAUCCAGACGAUUGUGCAAAUGACGUCUCCUCGUAACCUGAAGGAGAUGCAGAGCCUCACGGGGAGGUUGACGGCGUUGAGCAGAUUCAUAUCCAAGGCUACAGAUAAGUGUCAGCCAUUCUUUCAAGUGAUAAGGAGGUGAAAGAAAACAGAAUGGACCCCAGAAUGCGAGGAAGCCUUCCGGAACUUGAAGCGAUACUUGCAGCAAGCUCCGCUGCUGUCCACACCGAGGGAGGGGGACAAGUUGUAUCUGUAUUUGGCGAUAUCGGAUCGGGCCGCCAGUUCUGUUCUGGUGAGAGAGGAAGAAGGAGUUCAGUAUCCGAUAUACUACACCAGCAAGGCCCUGCUCGACGCUGAGACCAGAUACCCACCGUUGGAGAAAUGGGCACUUGCCCUUGUGGUUGCUGCUCGGAAGUUGAGGCCAUAUUUUCAAGCAUUCCCGGUCUCGGUAAUAACAAACCAGCCAUUGCGUCAAACUCUGCACAAGCCAGAUGCCUCUGGUCGGCUCGUCAAGUGGGCUGUAGAGCUGAGCGAGUUCGACAUAGACUAUAAACCCCGCGCAGCGAUAAAAGCCCAGGCAAUGGCCGAUUUCGUAGCUGAAUUCACAGAGCCCGAAGUAUGCUUAGAUCAACAAGAUGCAGUUAUAGGCAAUGACGAAACUCAAGUAUGGCAGAUGUCUGUGGAUGGGUCAUCAGGGGAGCGGGGUUCAGGAGCAGGGAUUGUCUUGGAAGGCCCAGAGGGGGAGGAGAUCUCUUAUGCUGUAAAGUUGGAAUUUGCAGCCACGAAUAACCAGGCAGAGUAUGAAGCCUUGAUAGCAGGUCUGGAAUUGGCUAAGGCCGUGAAAGCAGACAGAGUUAAGAUCAGAACUGAUUCCCAGCUGGUUGCGAAUCAUGUCAGUGAAAGAUUCCAACCAAGAGAGGAGAAGAUGGAGCAGUACCUGAAGAUAGUCAGGAAGAUGAUGGGGAAGUUCGAAGCAGUGGAGGUGAUACAAAUCCCCAGGGAGCAGAAUAGUCGAGCAGACAUUUUGGCUAGGAUGGCAGCAGUAGCCGACCCAAAAAUGCCAAAGUCGGUCCCUCUGGAGGUGAAGUCCAGCCCAAGUAUCGAUCAGAAUUUGAGGGUGUUGCGGAUAGAACAAAAAUGCUCGUGGAGGGACCCGAUAGUUUCAUACCUUAGAGACGGGGUAUUACCACCAGAUAAGCUGCGAGCUCGCAAGAUUAAAGCCCAGGCCUCGAGAUACACGAUGAUUGAUGGGGUACUGUAUCGGCGAGGAUAUACACUACCGUUCCUUCGGUGUUUGGAUGAGGACGACGCGGAUUACGUAGUGAGAGAAGUACAUGAAAGAAUUUGCGGAAAUCAUUCUGGCGGGAGGUCCCUGGCCCACAAGGUUCUAAGGCAGAGAUAUUUCUGGCCGACAAUGCACCAGGAUGCGCAAGAGAAGACCAGGAGUUGUGUAAGCUGCCAGAGUUUUGUAAAUUUCUCUAACCAACCACCAGAGAAGCUCACCUCCAUGACCUCCCCCUGGCCAUUUGCUCAAUGGGGAAUUGAUCUGAUGGGCCCAUUGCCAAAGGCACGAGGAGCAGCAACACAUGCAAUAGUUGCUAUAGAUUACUUCACGAAGUGGAUAGAGGUAGAAGCCCUUAGCAGGAUCACAGAGAAGAAAACAACAGACUUCGUGUGGAGAAACCUGGUCUGUCGAUACGGGAUCCCUUAUGCCUUGGUAACGGAUAAUGGCAGGCAGUUCGAUAAUCACAGCUUCAGGGAUUUCUGCCAGAACCUCGGGAUAGAGCUGAAGUAUUGCUCGCCUGCUCACCCUCAAUCGAAUGGACAAGUAGAAGCAGCCAACAAGACCAUCAAGAGGCUUUUGAAAACCAGGCUUGGAGCAAAAAAGGGUGCGUGGGUUGACGAGCUGUCAGGUGUGCUAUGGGCAUACAGAACAACCCACAAAACCGCAACUGGGGAGACAUCGUUCGCUUUGGCUUUCGGACAUGAAGCGGUCGUGCCGGCUGAGAUAGGAACGACCACACACCGGACAAAUCAUUUCAAUGAGCAGGAGAACGACGAGCAGAUAUGUUUGAAUCUUGAUCUGCUAACGGAAAGGAGGGAGCAAGCAGCCGAGCGAUCAGUCAUUUACCAACAGAGGGUUGCUCGGUAUUAUAACCAGAAGGUGAACAUACGGCAAUUCAGGGUCGGAGACUGGGUACUGAGAAGAGUGAAUCAGAGCACCAAAAAUUCGACUCAAGGAGUGCUGGGACCGAAUUGGGAAGGGCCAUAUAGAGUCAAGCAGAUAGCGGGACCCGGAGCUUACAAGCUGGUUCGCACGGACGGCCACGAGGUGAAACGCCCAUGGAACGCAGCACACCUCCGAAAAUACUUCCAGUAAGACUUGUUCACAUUUGAAAGCUAUUUUUGCUCAUGUUCAUUAUCGUUUAUUUUUCACGCUUUAUGUCCAAAUAAUUUCAUGUAAGUCGAAUCCUGCCAUUAAUGGAACGUCGAGGAAUUUCUUUCGCUUGAAACCGAGAAAAUUCCCAAAGGCAUGCAAAGGCUCAACAAAGUCUCAAAGCCUGUCUUAUGGCGAGACAGAAGUCAAGCAUGCCAGGAUCUGCUCGGCCACGAGAAGGCGAGCAGAAUCCCAAUCCUCGAAGAAUCCAAGGCAUGCAAAGGCUCGACAAAGUCUCAAAACCUGUCUUAUGGCGAGACAGAAGCCAAGCAUGCCAGGCUCGACAAAGUCUCAAAGCCUGUCUUAUGGCGAGACAGAAGCCAAGCAUGCCAGGAUCUGCUCGGCCACGAGAAGGCGAGCAGAAUCCCAAUCCUCGAAGAAUCCAAGGCAUGCAAAGGCUCGACAAAGUCUCAAAGCCUGUCGUAUGGCGAGACAGAAGCCAAGCAUGCGAGGCUCGACAAAGUCUCAAAGCCUGUUUUAUGGCGAGACAGAAGCCAAGCAUGCCAGGAUCUGCUCGACCACGAGAAGGCGAGCAGACUCCAAAGCAUUCGAAGAAAUUCCUAAGGCAUGCAAAGGCUCACCAAGUCUCAAAGCCUGUCUUAUGGCGAGACAGAAGCCAAGCAUGCCAGGAUCUGCUCGGCCACGAGAAGGCGAGCAGAAUCCCAAUCCUCGAAGAAUCCAAGGCAUGCAAAGGCUCGACAAAGUCUCAAAGCCUAUCUUAUGGCGAGACAGAAGCCAAGCAUGCCAGGAUCUGCUCGGCCACGAGAAGGCGAGCAGAAUCCCAAUCCUCGAAGAAUCCAAGGCAUGCAAAGGCUCGACAAAGUCUCAAAGCCUGUUUUAUGGCGAGACAGAAGCCAAGCAUGCCAAGAUCUGCUCGACCACGAGAAGGCGAGCAGACUCCAAAGCAUUCGAAGAAAUUCCUAAGGCAUGCAAAGGCUCACCAAGUCUCAAAGCCUGUUUUAUAGCGAGACAGAAGCCAAGCGUGCCAGGAUCUGCUCGACCGCGCGAAGGCGAGCCGAAUCCCAGGCAUUGAAGAAUCUUCAAAGGCAUGUGGCAAAACCAUGAGCAAAGCCGGAACCUGCUCGUCUAGACAAAGACAAGCAGAUUCUCAAACGAAAAUUAAUUCAUAAUUACAACACAAGAAAGUAAUCAAAAAACAUUUUUAUUAAUUUGUUAAUAAUUAACAGAGGGGAUAAUCUUCAUGAACAUUGUUCAUUACAAUACAAGAAAUAUAUCAAGAAGAUGGUGGGUCAGUAAGCCCAGCAGCAUCGGUUGGCUGGACCUCCUCAGGUGCAGGAGGGGUAUCAUCAGUUGCGUCCGGGGGGGUGCUCGCCUCGCCAACAUCAGCAGGGACUGCACGAGGAGGAGAGUUUUCCUCCUCAAUCACGAUCGGCUCUACCCCUUCGGCAUCUUCCUUGGCCGCAUCCUCGUCCAUAUGUUGAGCAACACCAGCUGCAAGGUCAUCCAUCUUCAGAUCAGGGUGUUGCUUCCCGAGGACGGCCAUGAUGCAACGAUAGGAAUGCCGAAGUCACUGGUCGUACUGGUUGUCGGCCUCCCUCUCCAAGUUCUCGACCUGAGCUCAGUGGGAGUCGCGGAGAGAUUCGAGCUGAGCCUCAUACAUAGCCUUCUGCCUUUGUAGAUCCUCCUUGACCUUGGUAAGCUCCUCCUCGAGGGUAAUGGCUUUUGCUUGAGCAAGUGAUUCUUGCUCUAUCAAGGGUGGGACCUGCUGCACGAUGUUGGCCCGCUUUGCAGCAGGGGCAUCCUUACUCUGGUCCCUCUUCGUGGUUGGAGGUCGAGAACGUUUUCGGGUCAGAGCCCCAAUCACAGCGUCCUCCAUCCUAUGGCCAGGAAGUAUCAAGCGAGACUCGAGCAAGUUGUAUGUAGUUAACAGUUCUCGGCUCGAGCAGGAAUUGGCUAGUACAGCCUCGACCCGUUUGAGCUGGUCAGGUUCAAGCGGGAAGUGGACACCCCAAGAACCUGCAACACAAACAAACAUUUGAUUAGAGACAAACCAGUAAAGCGCAAACGACAAGGGAGACAAGACAUCUAAUACGAGCAGGCAACCUGGGACCACGAAACGGGGUGGGACGCGGAAGUCCUCCCCAUCAACCCGUGCAACUUGACCCCAGGGACCCCCUGCGAAGAAGAACUUCCUCUUCCAAUUCCCACCACCACCAGUAGGGAGAUCGGUUAUGGGUUUCCUGGUCUUGGUACUUGAUUGGAAGUAAUACCAGCCGGCAUCUUUUGGGCUGCUUUUCAGCUGGUACAGGUGCAUCACCUCGUCGACCGUGGGCUCGCUUUGACAACAUCUGUCCCACAGUAUGAACAGACCAGAGAGCACUCUCCAACCGUUUGGGUUCAACUGACCAGGAGAUAGAUUCAACCCGCUAAGUAUCCGGGCAAAGUAAGGUUGCAAGGGACACCUCAGCCCAUACUUAAAGCUAUCCAGAUACAGGGUAACAUAUCCCCUAGGAGGCCGGCUAGGGGUAUCCUUCUUGCCUGGGACCUUGAGAAGUAUUUCACCAGGAAUGCUGUACCUAAGACGGAGGUCAGCGAGCUCGUCAAACGUGGUCGUGCACGUCAUAUAGUCGAUGGCAUAAUCACGCAACAAGGCUCUACCCCCUACUGUACCCCGUCCUUCUGGUCGUGACGUUCCAGAUGGAGACACCUCACCAGAGUCACCUUUGCCAUUCUCACUCAAAGUAUCCUCGGAGCCAGAAGAUCUCUCCUCACCAUUACUUCCGCUCGUAGAGGUUGUUUGGGGAGACAUCCUCCUAGCACUAGUCCCGACACUAGACCUAAUGGGCUCUAAGGGGAUCCCGCGGUCAAAAGCAGGAUCGGUGAGCAGACUAGGCAGGAAGUCCAACUCGUCGUCAUCAACCUCAAUGACCUUCUCUUUGCCUUUCGACAUUCCCUAAACUCUAACCACAACACCACCAACUACUACCCAAACAGAAGAGAAGAGAAAUUAUCUACAACUAUCCGAAACCAAGGAGAUAGAAGAAAUACCUGAAGUAAUGGUUCAGUCGGUGAAAAUCAGAGAUGGAGGCCUUUUAUGCCGGAACUUCUUUGCCGGAGAGACAGAGACGGAGACGGAGUGAAUGAUGAAUAUGUCGUUCGAGAGGAUUUGGUUUUCCUAAUGAGGACGGACUCUUGGGUUGCCAGCAUUUAACAGCGCCGAAUCCCGAGGGUCUCAUAACCGUCGGUUUGAAAUUCAAAUGGAGGGGGGGAUUUCUGCCACGUCACCUCGUCCGCAAUUAAAUGCGACAUGACUCUUGGCAGCCUUUUCCAAUCCCACGCGAGCGAGUACUAACGAGUUUCUACUGCUGGUCCACUACAUUACCCAACACCAGAAACUGGGGGACCGGUGUUUGGGAGAAAUACGUCGACGAGACCAGGCAUGGUGAGCAGAUAUCUGAUGGCAGAGUUCUGCGAACCGGUGUGUUCCUUAAAAGCCUGGUGCGCGGGGGAACAGGAGCAGAAAUAUCCUGCUCGUCCACGAGCACGUCAUCCGCGAGGCCAAUUUCCUAUCAGAGGCAUAAGGCCAUUCCGGCUAGAGGUCGAGAGGCGAGGAGACCGGGUCGACGGCAGUUGGCAAGACAUGCUCUCCAGCCCGAGAAUCUAGGCACGACAGCCACGCUUUCCCCAGAACCACGGCGGAACACGCAAGAUCCCACGUUUGCCCAUAACGCAGCAUAACGCAGCAGUCGGAGUCCCAUACCGUCCCCCAAAAAGCGGAAACAAUAUCUCACAGAACCACGACAGCCACGCUUUCCCCAGAACCGUGGCGUAACACGCAAGAUCCCACGUUUGCCCAUAACGCAGCAGUCAGAGUCCUAUACCGUCUCGAAAAAAGUGGAAAACUGGGAUUCAGAGGAAGCCUAUAAAAAGGUAGCCAACGAAGGUAAAGGGGUUAGCAUUUUUGAGAUUAGAAAAGAAAUUCAAAAGAAGAGAAAACCACGAAAAAGCCAUAAGAUCUGUGGCAAGCGUUCCCCGAACCUUCAUAUCUGACUUGAGCGUCGGAGGGUUUGCACCGGGAAAAUAACCGGUGUACUCUGACUUGUCUGUGUGCGCAGGAACCUCUGGAGAAGAAGCCUUGCGAGGAGACCUCCUGGUCGUGAUGAAGUUGAUCGAGCAGAGAUCUUGGUCGUAGAACGAGGAGAACCGGAAUCCCGCAUCAACACUAACCUCUUCAUUAGUAAGUCUACCUGCAAAUGAGUGGCCCUCAAGAUAUUGUGCAGAAUGAUGGUUAUGCAAUCCACAGAUUACUUUUAACACCCAAUCUUGAUUAUUCGCCAACAUUUGACCCUUUAAUAAAAAUGGACAGCCACACUUUUUUGUUCCAAUUGCAUUCGGUCUUUUCUUCUUUUCCAAGUCGCUAUUCUGCUUAGACAUGCUGGUACUUCUUUUCAGAUAUGCACCACUUCUUUCACAAGCAAAAAUUAUCCUUGGUCUCCUUCCAAUCACAUUCACGUCAGAUCUUUUAAUAACAAUCACAAGUCCAUUUUUUUUUCCCAACAUCAUGCGUCCAUCGAAUCAACUCUUCUCUACUGGUGAAAACCUAUGAAAAAGACAAUAAUAUAUUAGUUAAUGAUACAAAGAAAAGAGAAUAUAUGUAUGAAACUUUAUUUAGCAUUUUACCUCUUCAGUAGUGAAUGCAGCAAUGUAAUCCAUAACAUCUACUUUAUUAUCAAGAAUGGCAACUAUGGUAGAACUUUCCUCCUUCACAAUCAUUGUAAGAUAUUACAUAAGUUAAUACAAGACACAAAACUCGAAUAAUAGCAAUUUAUUCAGCAAUAAUCAACCAAACAAUUGACAUUUGUUAAGGGAUAUUUGUUGAACAUUGUUCAACGCUCUCCCUAUCAUUAUAAUUCUGAAACAAUAAAUUAAUAGCAAACUUACUUUUUUAUUAUCAUCCUCAUCUGUUUGCAUGAUUAUUUUGCCUUAAAUUUGAAACUCUUAGAUUAGGGUUUAAGAAAGAAAAGAGAGUUUAUAUCGUAUGCCACACAAAGAAUUUAAAACUCUUAAACAAAAAUAUGCCGUAUAAGAAAUUUUUAAGGGGAAAAAAAUAUUUGAUUUUGAGUGGGGGUUUAAUUAGAAAUUGUCUUAUUAUGUAAUUUUAAUAAAGGUUAAAAUUGUAAAAUAACUAAAGGGGUGUUAAGAGGUAUUUAGAGGGGUGCCAAUAGUCCCACUCUUAAUCCAAUAUAUGGUUGGUCUGUAUGGCACAUGGUAGAUAGUUUGGCUGCCGGCCCAUCGCGAUGGUCCUUUUCUUUAUUUUAUAUUUCGUGUUAGGAUUUAAUCUAAUGGUUAAGGCUAUGAGAUUAAACAAUUGUAGAGUUAAACAUUAAAGUAUUGAUAAACACUAGUUGAUGUAGUUUAAAAAUUAAGUUAAUUUAAUCUCACACUUAUUUGAUAGAAAAUUUAUAAUAUCUUUAUUAUUUUUGUUAAAAUUAUUAUUAAAAGUAAUAUUUACUAAAUGCUAUCAACUUUUAUUUAUAAUUAUAGUUUUUUUUUUUAUAUUAGUUGUAGCUUAAAAAUUACAAUACUUCAAUACUAAAUAAGUCUUAAUUCCAAAAUCCAUAUAAUAUAUCUUAACUAAUGUAACACACGACUCGUCUUCAUCAUAAAAUAUUAUGUUCUACAUGCAUAAAUAUAUAUAUAUAUAGAUAGCAAAAUUUAUUAUAGAAUAUCAACUUCAUUUGAUAUUGAAAAGUGAAAACAACAACAUAUGCUUCUUUGGAAAAAAAAUGAAAAAGAAAAAGAAAAUAACAGCAUAUGACUAAAAAAAAACCAACAAUUUUUCUCAUUAAAAAUAAUAUGGUUAUUAUUUUUCAUGGCAUAUUUCGUAUAGGGAAAUAUCCAUUUUUGUAGUAAUGCGCCGUCUCAUUCUAAGAAAACAAAAGUUAACGUCUCACUCUGAGAAAACAAAAGUGGAUAAUUCAUUCCCCAUUUCCACGUUUAAGGGGACAAAUAUGGCAUUUCACAUCCGGUCCUUCACUAUCUCCAAAAUGCGGAUACUACAUGGCUGCAACAAUGUACGUACAAGCCAAUCCCAGAAGCAAAGGUGGCAAAGGGCAAAGCUCUUUCCUUUGGUUUUUCUCUUACAAUUAAUAUUAAUAUCCCCCUCUGUGUCUCACAAAACCCUAACUCCGCCACCUUUAAAUCCUUUGGGUAAGUUUCUCUCUUAUCUGUAGAAUCUCUAGGUGUGCAUGUAUAUAUAUAUAAGCAUGUAUCAUGUUGUUUUCAGUAGUACUAAAAAUGACCUUGCUGUUAUACUACCUUAUCACGUCUUUAUGUAUAACUAUCAAACUUGAAUAUAUGUUUUUCUUCUGAUAGGUCUAUGUUUAAAUGAGCAUUUCAUUUAUAUGGGUGGGUUUCUGUUCGGUUUUUAAUAUCAUAUAUAUGGGAAAUUUCUUUGUAGCUUAAACUUGUCUUAUGUUAUGUGAUUUACAGCCAGUUGAUUUCCCUUGAAAUUGGAAUGGACUAAUAUUGUUGUAUUAAAAAUUUCCAUUUCUUUUCACUUCGUCCGAUCUCGGAUGUCAAAUAUGCAUGAUUCAUUUUGUAAUCUAUUUUUCUAUUUUUUAGAUUAACUAAAUAAAGAACUUUGUAUUUUCGGGGGGAAAAAAAGAUGCUAAUAAAUAAAUCAAGACUGUUCUUUCUUGACUCGCUGCAUUCAUUGAUAUCCUGUGAUUUAAGCCGUGUCUUCAUAAAUGUGUUGUUUCUCUACGUCUUAGCAUCUUAUACCAUUUAGCUUGUCUGGUUUUAAAUUUCUGAUCAAAUUAAAAAAUUUUGGAAUCGGUCGAUUAAUUCUAUAUAAGACUCACUCCUCUGCUUUUUGUCACUUGUUUACGGUACUUACCACUCACAGUAAUUCAUGCUAUUUUACUGUUUACUAGUAACUAAGGGUUGGAACUUGGAAGGUUUGGCUUAAGGUAUAUAGAAUGGAAGGACAAAGUGAUCAGCAGAAAUUUCAGUGGUUGAUGUUAUCAAAUUUUAAUGGGAAUGCCAAUGAUGAGUCUCAUGGACCUGGAUAUGAUCUAAACCAACCCUUUGUUGCGGAAGCUGGAUGGUAUGGGAACCAGCAUAAUUCUCUGCCUUUACCUCAGUGGCCAUACAGCUGGAAAGCUCCUCGCAGCUACAUUGAUUUGAUUGCAGAAAGUUCCACAUUUCUUGAAAAUGCUACUGGUGCAGAUAUGUUAGAGUGUAUUACUUCACCUGUUGGUGGCGGUCACUCUGUUUAUGGAGGCUCUGAAAUCCAAAGAGAACUAUUGUUCAACAAUCUUGGGAACCCUUGCGGUCGUACACCUCCUUAUGGAGACUCUGAAAUCCAGAAAGAACUAUUGUUCAACAAUUUUGGAAAUGCCUGUGGUCAUGCACCUGCUUAUCCAUUCUUCGACUUGGAUGCUUCAAAGGUAAAGCCAUCUUCCUAGGUGCUUUAUGGGGCAACAACCAUGAAACUGAAAUGUCUGAUUGGGUAUGUGCUACAGGUAAGAUUUCAGAACCCAUAUGAUGUUGUGGAAUCACAAAACAGCAACUUUAUGUUCUUCCCGCAGCAGAUUCUUUCUCAGGUUUAUUUCAUCCAUUAAUAUCUCUAUUUCCAAAUACAAGCUGAGCAUAUUAUCUCAAGCAGUCAUUAAACUUGAGGACUUGAUUUUUGAUAGGUAGAUGCCAAUAUCUCGCACCAGAAUCAAACUUUAUGGAGACAAGAACCAUAUGAAGAAUGUAAUGUGUCUCAACUUUAUCCCAGGGUAACAGUUGCUCCAUCUAUUUACCUUUCCAAACAACGAUCCAGGGUAGCCAGUGCAUCUUAUCGUGCAAGUAGAAUACCCUUCUCAGCCAUUGCAGAAACUAAUGUAUCAACCCCUAUACUCAACGGACCAACAAAUAUGGUUACAAUCAGAUAAUUCAUUUUACUAAUUUUUCUCAUUUGGAAUAAAAUAAUAGUCGUUUUAGCACUCUGACUAAAGUUUAUUUCUGAUUCAGUGUCGCAAGACACGAAGAGCUGAAAGAAUCAGAGCAUUGCAAGAACUGCUUCCUCAUUCUGUAGAGGUAAUGUGUCAAUGCUUUCACAGUUAUCGUGACAAUUAACAUGUAUGCAUGACACAAGAAGUUUUUCAAUUAUGUACUCUUAAGGUGUGCUGCAUAUCCUGAUGCUAAUUCCCUCAUACAUUGUCUUUUACAUAUAAAAAUAAUAGCAGAAUUUUGUUAUAUGUUUAUUACGUACAGUACUCUAAAGAUGCCAUUGUAAUAAGGAAAUGGCGUUAUGUUGUGUAUGCUUUUUGGGAUCCCAAUGUCCGUCGUCACGCUAUGUCUAGUUCCAAUGAUUGUGGAUGUGAAAUUUUAAAGGUGAGCACUGGUUCAUUUUUGGUUUUGCAGGGCGGUCAUGCAGCUGUGGUGGAUGAUACCAUUGACUACAUCAAGUUUCUACAGUCACGAGUGAAGGUAUGGCGUACCCUGAGGUGCCAUUUUACACCACUCAUGCACCGACAGUCACUUACCAUAUUGACAUGUAUUUCUUUCUAUGUGCGAAAUUCAAUACAAGCGUAUGGUUCAAACUUCAAAUAAGUUGAAUCCGAUUCUUCGUUGCUUUCAUUUGCUUUAACGACAGUUCCAGCGAUCUUAAGAUAAAAAUUUACUUCCAUAGGUGCAUAUCUAUCGUAAACAUUUUGCAAUGAUGGUGUAGAUUUGUAUGUUUAUCAAACCAUAUCAUAAUAUUAAGGAAGUAAUUUGAAAAGCAAACUCAAUUCUGCAGGAACCAAGUCAAAGCGGAUUCGAAUGCCAACCAACUUCAGAUCCUUUCGUUUUCCUCGAGGUAUUAAUUACCAAAGAGUAAUUAAAACUCAAGCAAGCUCACUGUGUAGCAACCAAACACUGAUGCUGAUUAUUUGCAGGGAUAUGGCCACUACAUUCUCAAUGAACAGAAUACAAAUGAACCAUUUGAAGAGAUGGUGGCAGAGUUGCCAAAGAUGAAUCCUUCAGCAGCACGUCAGUUGUUGGAGAGCAGCGGCCUAUACCUGAUCUGAUGCUCAUGUCUUCGGCUGAAGGGUAACGCUUGCCAAAGCCAAAAAACCUCAAAGAUGCCUGACAAUCCUAUCUAAACUCAUGGUUUUUUUGAAUUAUGUGAAUUUGUCUUUUUGAAUGGUUAUGCUAGCCCUGAGCUGCUUUUAUUGGAUGCUAGAAAAAGAUCAAAAUGCAGAAGAAAAAGAGAAAACAUUCUUCUCGAAUCUUCUGAUGCUUUGCGGUACUCACUCCUGCUGACUCACAUUUAAAUCAGCAAACGAAAGUAAACAAGAGUAGAAUUAACAUUAAAGAAAUUUGAUAUUAGUAUUCUGUAUCUCGCAAUCUAUCCUCGUUGAUCUGUCUUACUCAUGAGAGGCCUCUAAAGAUCCAAGGGAGACUCUGCCCCAGCGGGCAGCAUUGAUUGGCCCAUGAUGCACUUUUCACCAUUCUCAAUCAGUGAUUUGUCCAACGAAGCCUUGGCAACUUUAGCAACACACACCAUCAGAAUCACUAUAUUGAAGCAGCAACAAAUAGAAAAGGUCAGUACUUCUACAUAACCUAACAACAAUUUCAGGGGAAAUCCUGCUCAAUUUAAACUAAUUUUGUAUCAAAAAUAGGAGAAGAGUUGACAAAUCAAGAAUUGACGAUAACUAACCAGAUAUCACAAAGCCGAGUACCAUAUGUACCUACAUCCACAAGAAAUGCAGCUUAUAAAACCAGUAAGGAUGACAGGCAACAUCCUACACAGAGUCAGCAACCAUGCAUAAAAGUAAAUUUCAUUUAAAAAACUGAAGUCAAUCUAAUAUGCCUUUUAUCUAUUGGAGACUGUAAUAUAGCCUCAUAUUAUCAGAAUAAGAGGGCAUUAUGCUAACCCAUCGAGUUGCUGAAAUCUCAUUCCAUCCAUGUGUGACAUCAGAAAGAUCCUUCAAAGUCGUUCCAACAUAUACCAGAGAAAAUGUACUUGGCUGUCACAAGAAGCAAAAUCACGAGUUCAGUAGUCAAAUGGUUUUUUAAAACUGAGUUAUUUAGCAAGCUUGAGCCCAUCAUUAAUGGUGAAAGCCCAUAAAAUAUUGGAAUGUUAAAUUACCAUCAUUCCCAACCAGGAUGCCAGCAUGUACUUGCCUGUGUGAACAGGAGUUACAGAUAGGAGAUAAUUCAAGAUGUUAAAUGGAAGCAAGGGAACAAGCCGAAGCAGGAAAAUUAUCUGAUUGCAAAAUCGAAAGAAAAAGAACAAAAAAUUAUAAGUCAGAGGAAAGGAAUUGCAUUUUUUUAAUAUAAAGAACAUAUAAAAUAAAAAAUAAACACACGAGUAUUGAUCAAAGAAGAAUCACCACAAUAUUUCAGACAGCCAGAAAGUAUAAUCUCAUAUUCAUAUUUAAGUACUUAUCCAUAUUGGAAUAUAACCUGUGUCAUGGUAUCAGUUAUACGAAAUAACUUGAUUGCAGUCUCUACUUGAAUAGCCAAAAAUGUAUGAUACUUGUAAAGAUUAAUCAGCUUUUGCUGUCUCUGUCUUCAUGCUUCUUAUCUAAAAUUUCCCAACCAGUAUGAGGACUCUCUAGCUUCACUUCAGUUCUCCAAAAUUCAAUCGAUUUUGAACAGCCACAUAAGAUUACACAAUUGAAGUCUUAUAAAUUUUCUGUGUGCACAGUGUUUUGGAGACUUCUUUAUGCAAUUUCUUUAAUUGUUAACUCAAAAAGGUAAAUGCUAUUGACCCUAUUAUCAAUGUGUCUAAGCUCAACCGAAGAUGAGAAAACAUGAUGCCAUCAGCAUUGCUGUUGGCAAAGUUCACUGGGUUAACGAUAGAUUUGUCAGUUUUGUUUUAAUGGUUACUUAUGAUAAUUAGUUGCUGUAAUUUUCAACGAUCAUUGAACAUAUUCAUCAGCCACUGGAUAAAUGAAUAUAAACAAUUGACAUUAACAAAUCUAAAUGGAAGUACGGAUAAACUUUUCCCAAUAAGCUUCUGUGAGAACUCUUGCCUUAAAGCCAGAUUUCUGGAUUGCCCCUGCAACAGCCUGAAAUUUGGGAUAGUUCUUCAACUUGGAGAUGACAAAUGAUCUUCCAAACUGCACUACAGCACAAACUAAGAAGUAUGUAGGUCUACAAAUGACAAAAACAUAACAAGAAGAAAAAACAUGUUUUCAGAAAGAAAAAUGUUGCAACAAUUCUUUAAUAUAAGAAAAGAGACAGACUCUUUACUUAGAAAGACUCAAAUAAACAGAAAAUAAAAUUAAAAAAGGUGCAGAAAUAUCAGUGUUCAGGAAAGUAAAACAGAAAUGCAUUGCUGUCUUCCUCAUGUUUCUGGGGUUAAAGGGAUGAGGUGCUUGCCUUACCAAGAAAUAUUGCAGUUGACCCACACACGCACACACAAAUGAUAAUAUGAUCUAUAACUCACAUGAGCAGGGGUAGAGGAACUCACUGUUCUACCAAUAAGGAAUGCAGCUGUUGCACCUAUUGUUGCACCAACAGAAUCAGCUAUGACUCCUAGUGGCAGUCCAAAAAGAUAACCGCCUCCAAGCUGGAAAAUGCAGGACAAAAGGAAAAAUGACAAAGAAACUGCCGCAUGAGGUCAAAUCUUCAAUAAAGUACAAAAAAAGAAACUGGGACAAACAUCACUCUUGACCAAAAUUAUUUGUACACAUUUUUUCAAUGAUAAAUGAAAGCAGAAGAAAACUGCUCUUCAUAGAAUCUCAAAAGAAACAAAAGAAAGAAUCCAAAUUAAACUUACUGUCAGUAUCGAAGCAGGAAUUGCUAGGACAGUGAGAGGAACAUAUGCGAUGAUCCUGUAAAAUUCCAGAAAAAAAUAUUAGAUAUAUAUGACUGGCAACUACUUGUACUAAUGUUUAUUCAUUCAUGGAAUGAAGCCUUAGUUUCUUCCAUCUCAGAAGAAAUCAUAGCGUACUUAUAUACAAAUUGCUAAUCGUUGAUUCAUCGCCAGAGAUGGCUUGGCUUAGAAUCAAUAGUUCAUUAUUUAAUGAUUUUAUUAUAUUUCCACUUGGGUAAUAUCAGAAAUAGUUAGUAACCACACUCAUCAAGUAGUUUCUGUUUUUUAUCAGUGUAGUACUUUGCUUAUGCUAGAACCUUAAUUAAGGUGAUCAGCAAGGAUGACAUAAUGGAAGAUGAAUUUCAAACAUUUAUUGCUGAGAAAUGGAUGCUAAUUGUGGCCUAUGGGAGAAACUUACAACACAAGCGGACCCCAAGGCCCAAGAUCCUGCUUCAUCCAUAUCAAAAAAUCCUUCAAUAUCUGUAAAAACAAACAAUUUUUUUUUCUUAAUAAAAAUAUCACAGAUGAAGUAGAUUGUGAUAGUAACCUAUGACUAGUCUACUUAAUAGCCAUCCUUUAGAAAGGAUAUGAACGGCUGCCCAUCUGUUGGGCUCUCCACAGAUCCUGCACCCGACACGUGACCAGGUAGUGCCUUCUCGGUGAUGAAGGCCUUCCACAAGAGCCUUCCCCAAGGAGUGUCUACUCUUCUGAUACAACUCGUCUAAAAUUUGGCUUGUGCGGAGGAGGAAGGAACCCAAGUGCCUAUAAGGCCACCUGCCAAGGCUUUGCUAAAUUAAGCCAUAGCUUAGCAAUGUGGGACAAAAUUAGAGUCCCAUAUGUUUUUGAGAAUGUAACUUCAAAUGAAAUAGCCACUAAAGGCCUAGUCUAGUGGUGUGAUGCCCUCAACAUUUCUUCCUUCCUGGGUAUGGACAUAGGUCUCAUCACUAGUCGAUACUGAUUUUUUAUCUAAGCUUAGUUUGGGAGUUUGGGCACAACUCGGUCUCUGAAGACCCUAGGCUAUGUGUUAUUAUUAUAAGCGUAUAAAUUCAUACUCUACCGUAAUAAUUGAAAUGAAAAAAUGGAUCACAACAAUACCGAAACCCUGAAAUUGCUUACAGUGCACCGAACGUUCACUUAAAUUGUAAACAUGGCACCGAUUUUUCGUUAUUUUUGUGGACCAUUUGUUGAGCGCUUUGUCUCUUUAGCAUUUUCGGAAAAGAAAAAAAAAUAACUGAAAUAGCCAGAAACAAACACGUGCAAAUUUAAACAAGAUAUGCAGAAUGAUAGGGGAAAAAAAGAAAGGAAAUUAAAUGACAUAAAACACGUGCCUUUUCAAUGGGAAGGGAAAUGCAGGAGACGAGAAGGACGGCGAGGAGGAGGAACAAGACUCCGAUUCGAAAGGCGGAGGCCCAAGUGAGAAACGUUACACCCAUUUUUGGUAACAGAAACAGGCACAGCCUGCUGGGCCCAGGCCUCUGGCUCAGCUCGUCUCCGUCGUCCUUUCGACCGUUGGCGCCACCUUGCUUCAACGGUGCCCGCACCCGUAAUCCUUCCACGUUCGCCACUUUUAUUUAAGGUCCGUUGGUUCUCUUCUCCCAAUUUAAGCCACGAAAAAUCAAAUCAAUUACUAUACUUAGACGUUGUUUUUAAUUUGUCAAAUGCGAUGCGGCAUAUCCAUUUGCUAAAACCAAAUAUGAAUCAUGUAAUAAUAACAAAACCAACACAAACUAGAUGACGCCUGGCUAUAGAAUUGCAUGCAUGGGGGCCAAGUGUUUGCUAAGUGUCAUCAUCAAUUAGAAUGAAUUCUCAUGCAUUGGAGCAAAGUGUUUGCUAUGUUUUGUUUCAAUGAUUUGCCACAUCAAAGUAGAAGUGACGUGGAGCAACAGUUUCCUCCCUUUUUUUUUUUUUUUAAUGCAUGAUUAGUUCUUAAAAUCCACAACUAAAGAAUCAACAAAAUUAUGAACAAAAUAAGGAGAAAUUUUAAAAUAUACGAGAGAUAUUAUGUUAUGUCAGUCUUAUAAUAAGUAAAACAUAUUAUAUAUAUAUAUAUAUAUAUAUAUAUAUAUAUAUAUAUAUAUAUAUAUUUAAAAAAUAUUAUAUAAGUAAUAAUUAUAUUAAAUUUAAAUAUAAAUAUUAUAUAUGCAUUAAUGGAUUAUAUUAUCUCGACGUAUUUUAAAAUUUCUUUUAAAGAAAAAUAUAAUAAAUUAAUUUUUUUAAGAAAAAAGAACUCAGAACCAAAAUUUUCUCAUACCUAACUUUAUAAUCUUCAGUUUUCCGGCAAUCUUUCAAGAGACCUUCUAUGCACCUGCCUUCCACAGAGGCAGAAGACCCUAGAUCGGGAAAAGUAUUUCAUAAACAAUAAAGGACUGAAUUGAAACUUUCUGUCAAUGUUUAUAUAAAGUUUACGUUUGGCUCCACUCAUAUUUAUAUAUUAAGAAAUAGAACCGUGCUUUGCGUGACUUUAAAAAAAGAAUUUAAUAUUAUUAUUUUUUUCUUAUUAUACUUUUAACAAUUUAUUCUAUUCGAUUAAGAGGCAAGACUUCCAAAAAAAACAUGAAAAAAUAAAGUAAAGCUAAAAUCAAAAAGACUUUUUUAAUUAUUUAAAAUUGCAUUAGCUAAAUUAACACCGCGAAAAUAGAAGUGUCAUAAAUGUACCUUGUCUAAGCCAAAACCUUGGAAACCUGAUGCUGAUAUAUCACCACGAAGCCACCUGGAGAAGGAGCAGAAGAUGCAUCACAGUAGCCUCUUAGUAUAUUUCCUUUUUCGGCAGUGAAUCCGAAAGAAGUGAGCAUUGCAGGCCAGCAAUUACGGGUGAUGAUAUCAAUAGCGUGGCAACAGUCAAGGCCAAUAUCAUCCUGGCUAUUAAGGAAGAAUAUAACAAUCUCAUUUGAGCAUGAUUUCAUCUCCAUUAACGUGUUCCAGCACUCCAUUAGGCCUCCGCUAGCUUCAAGUCUUGUUGCAAGAUCGUAGCCUAGUUUCAUAUUGUUGUUGAGGCGAUCAUUCCUGCUGGUUGCAUUUGCAAUAUUUGCCAUGAUCAGGCAAGUGAGGGCCAAAAUGAAAAACACAUGUUUUAGAACCAUUGCUAUUUUCUGUUCUUUUAUGUUGUGUUUAUGUUUACGUGGGAUAUCAUAUUUUUUUUGUUGCUAUUUAUAAAUUAAGGUGAGGCAAAGGAGAAGAGUCAUUAAAAAUGUUCAUGAAUUAUUGCUUAAUUUAUGAUCAAGAAGGUUUCAAUUAGAGAAGAUAGUGGGUCUUUUGAUGAAUUGUUACAUAUUGAUUGUGUAAUAACAGUCAAAAUAAUUAUGAGAAGAUGAAAAGCCAAAUGUGAAAGAAAAUUUCUCUAUUUGUUAGAUAAUAGAGAAUAUAUAAAAAUGAGAAAUUGUGAUGCCAUAUCACCUCUUGUAGUCCCAACUUUAUAUAAAUAUAUAGAUAGAUAGAUAGAUACUGUAUGUGGUGAUAAUCUACUAAAUUUUAUAAUUUCUUAUUGUCCUUGAUUUUUGGCUUGGGCAUGAAGAGAACUAGCUUUCAGCAAGGACUUUCUAGUUACAUAGAGAAUUUUCGACACGAUAAAUCCCUUCUAAAUGAUGUAAUUUGUACAUCAACUCAAUCAAGGUCACUUCCACCAUGCUUGUGUUGUAAUUGACUUCGAAAUUUAUUUAUUGAAUGUGUCGAGUAAAAUUCUAGCACCAACGCAAUCUUUAUGUUAUCAUCAAUUUCGCCAUCAAGGAUAUCAAACUAAUUCAAAUAUCAUAUCGUUUUGAGAACACGAUCAAAAAAUAUUUUCCCCUUACCCAUCUCGCCAUACGAUUAUUUUGCCCAAAUAUUUGUUAGACUGCGUGUCUAUGUUUUUCAUGGUUGUCGCCAUGGUCUGAUGUUUUGUCUACACUUAAUAUCUUAGAAAUCAAGGUCAAAUUGAAGCGUUAGACCAUUUCAUUUGCUUUCUGCCGUUUUUCAUAAGCCUCGUAUGAUUAAUUUCUACAAACAUUAAAUGACAGCUGUGGUUAAAAGUUAAAACAUAUAUUUAUAAUCUUUAGUAAUGAGAACAUUAAAUAAAGAGUAAAUGAUAUGGCAAUUGGUGUUGUGAAAUCAUCCCAUUUAUUAUUAAACACAAGAUAAUAAUUGAUUAGUGACACGUCUUUUAAAAUAAAAAUUUUAAAUUCUAACUUUGUAAGUAUAUUAAUACACUUAAAUAAAUUAUGUUUCCUAUCUAUGUAUACAUAUAUAAUUCUUGUCAUAUUUGUCUUGAUCUCAAUACAUUUUUCAAAAAAAAAAAAUUAAUACCACUCUAGGGAAGUUGUAUUUUAUACUCUCAUGUAAAAUAUGGUAUAUCUGUCUAAAUGCUAAUGGAGGUAUAUCCGUCUCAAACAUACACAUUUUAGGUAUAUGUUUGAAUGUCAUCUUUAGUGGUAUGUAAACUUUCAAGCUAUACCUGACAGAUCUUUGGAUUAUACUAAAUAUUGAGCAUGAAGAAUUCAUAGAAAUAAAUUCAAAAAAGAAUAUAUGAUUUUUUUUAUUAUUAUUAUUGUUGUUGUUGUUGUUGUUGUUUAUUUCGAGUCUAAUGUAUUAUUGUGAACUAUUUUUUCAAUUGAUGAUGCUCUAGUUUUAACGGUCUAAAGAUUGAAGUGAAUCUAAUGUUGGAUUUAUACGUGAAUAAUUAUGUUUUAUAAAUUGUCUUAUAAAAUUAAGUCCAAUUAAAAGUGAUUUAUUAAAAUUUUUUAUAAUCUAGACUUUAUUGUAUCUAAUAGAGUGUGAGCCUUUAAUGUAUACAGAUUUAAGAGUAAUUUCUAUUUUUUACGAUGGAUUAAAAUAACAAUAUCUAAUGAUAAUAGGAACGUUAUACAUAUAAUUGGUUAUAGUCCUCAUAUUACAUGUAGACAUUCUAUUCUUUUCUAACAUUCCAUCAUCAUAGAGAGUGCACAGAGAAAAUUGAGGAAUUCUUUUAGAUAACGUAUUGAUCUGAAAGACAAACCACAUAACUCUAUAAAAUAACUAAGUAUUAUGAAUUUAAGUACGUUUUUACCUAUUCAUUUAUUAUUUUUUGGUAAUACAACAUGAAUAUUUCUAAGGACUUAAGUGAUGGUUUAAAAAAAAAACUAAUAAGUAGUAUGAGCAAUGAUAACAGAAAUCUCUCCUCGUUGAUUUUUGAAGAAAAACUUAUUUUCCUGUCUCGUGCAGUAGCAUGCGUGGAAUAAUGUCACCUAAUUAAUAACGGAAAACGGGACCAAAUGGGGCCCAUGAAUGAAAAAAAAUUCAAAAGAUAGAGGCUAAUCCAAGCAUACUCUUCUACAAUUUGCAUAUAUAAAACCACAUGCACAUGCAUAUAGUGAUACCAAAUCGCUAUAAAAAAAAUAAAAACUUUUUUUUCCACUUCUUUACAGAAAUUGCACGAAUUUACAAGUUUCUAGAAUGUCAAGAUAUUAAUGAUUAAGAAUAAUCUAAUGAUUACCAACCUCCCUAAUUAAGCUAAUACUUAAAGCUCGGAUUUUCUUGUUUCAGUACUGCAGAGAGAUUUCAAACCUUUUUCAUUUUGCCGCAUCCCAUACUCCAAGAGGAUGAAUGUCUAAAAUUUAAUAUUAAUUAAAUUCUUAAAUGGCUUCAUCAUGACAAUUAGUAUGCUAAUGCCGAAUCAAACAUAUGCACCAAUGCCUGCACCAAAUAUUAUAUUUAUUCAGCUCGCAGCACGAGUACUAAUAAUUAUUUUAUAACUGAACUCAGCAACAUACAUUACUUAAUUUUUCAGAUUAUCUCUUAUCCAUCCAGAGUGUGAAAAAGAUUAAUUAAUUAUGAUAACGAGUGGGACACCCAUUAAACAUACAAGUGGGAUGAAGGGAAAUUUUAGGUGAAGAAAAGCUUAAUGCUGAACAACAGCAGGAGCACUACAUAUAUACCAUCACAUGGAUGAUAAAAAAUGGAGGACAGCAGAAGCACACUAACUUAUAGGCAUGUAGUGUAACUAUUCAACCACUUUGUGGGGGAACCCUUCAUGCGCCCCUCAAUAGAAGUCCCCUUUUGAAAUAAAAAGUACACUGCACACUCUGCAGCAAACGCGCUUUUGGACCCCAUUCCCAUUCCUAUAAAUACCCAUCUUGCCUUGCAUAUCAAAACCAUCAUCCUUCGUCGUGGGACUUGAAAACAUAGUAACAUAUAUACAUUCUCAUGGCUACCCACAAGUUUGCUAGUGCUGUUUUCUUCGUGUUACUAGGUUUAGGUUUAACUUGUGCUGCAAGAAACCUCUAUUCUCUUGAAGAAGAAGUUACCCACACUGUAACAACUGGACAUGGCGUUGGAGCAGGUGCUGGUGUUGGUGUUGUUGUAGGCCUCGGUGGUGGUGGGGGCGGCGGUGGCGGCUCUGGUGGAGGUGGUGGAUAUGGAGCUGCGGGGGACCAUGGUGCUGCUGGAUAUGGAGGCGGAGCUGGCGGUGGAGAAGGCGGUGGUGCUGGCUAUGGAGGUUUAGCUGGACACGGUGGUGGUGGAGGAGGCGGCAAUGGGGGUGGCGGCGGCGGCGGAAGUGCUGGUGAAGCUGCUGGAUAUGGAAGCGGUGGUGGUGCUGGUGAUGGAUACGGUGGAGAACAUGGGGCUGGAUAUGGUGGCGGCGGUGGUGGUGGAAGUGGUGGUGGUGGAGGUGCUGCCGCUGGUGGUGCUGGAUACGGUGGUGGUGGUGGUGAAGGAAAAGGUGCAGGAGGCGGGUAUGGUGCUGGUGGUGCUGGAGGAGGAGGUGGUGGAAGCGGGGGAGGAGGUGGCGGCGGUUAUGGUGCCGGAGGAGCACAUGGAGGUGGUUACGGUGGUGGUGGAGGAUCAGGAGGGGGUUAUGGUGGUGGAGCUGGUGCUGCUGGGGGAGGCGGCGGCGGGGGCGGUUCUGGUGGCGGCGGCGGAGGAGGAUAUGGUGCAGGAGGUGCACACGGGGGUGGAUAUGGUGCCGGAGGAGGUGAAGGCGGUGGGCAUGGUGGUGGCUAUGCACCUUGAGAAUAUCUUCUCAUCUCUACUGCACUCACUACCACCUAAUUUACUCUAAUAUUAAGAAAAAUAAGAUUAUUAUGAUUUAUGGGCCAAAAAAACCAAAAAAGAAAAAAAAAAAAUUCAUAUCACGUAAUGUAAGAAGCUAUGGAUGCCAACUGAAUGCUGCCAGAAGUUGUAUCAUAUGAUAUUAAUAUCAAAGUUCAGCUGGUUCCUAGCUAUUCAGCUGGUUGCUAGCUAGCUAUUUGUGAGUUUCUUAUUCGGAUAUUCCGUGUGAAGAACAUGGAAAAGAAUAAAAUUAGACCAGUGAGUUGUGCUCAAAUAAGAAUCGCCACAAUAUUUCAGAUGUUUAUAUUUAAUAUGAGACUACAUAAUUAUAAUUAUAUUUAUAUUUGCCUUCAUUUCCGUCGAGGUUUACCCAAAAAAAAAAGAAAAAAAGAAAAUUGCUUUGUAUCUCUCUUCUUAGUUCAUCAAAAGUUAAGCUGUGUUGUAUUUGAUUUAUGUCCAUGAAUAUAUAGGAGGGUUCUGUGGCUUCAUAUCAGUCCCUAAGACAAAAUUGUGAAUGCAAUUAACCACAUCAUAUUAAUUGAAGAAAGUCUUUGGGAAUACUUCUUUACGCAAUUUCUUAAUUAUGAUGGGCAUAUAUUAACG